RNAcentral lists this long non-coding RNA (49751 nucleotides) under Vitis vinifera (wine grape). RNAcentral describes it as "long non-coding RNA (VVIN_LNC000098)". The record is from RNAcentral. Lineage: Eukaryota; Viridiplantae; Streptophyta; Magnoliopsida; Vitales; Vitaceae.
UUUUUUUUUUGUUCAUUAAUUAUGGAAGCUUGUCUUUUUUAAUGAGGAAGAUGGAUCUUGCAAGAUUUGGUUGCUCAGUAGUCAGUAGUAACAUCCACUCCAUUAUUUGUUCAUGCUUCAACAGAAUUUUCCCAUAUGCAUCAAAGCCAUCCACCUCAAGAGUUGAGAUCCAACAAAGAGAUGGGGAUUUCUACCACUAGACAGAGAAAGAGAAUAAGGAUUUCAAGGAAAGAGGUCACCUUGAAAAUAUGAUGAAGUGGGGGGGUUUCUGCUCUGGUCCCUGAUAGCUAGCUGUCAGAAUGGAAUAUCACCCGCCAAUAUAAUAAUUAAAUUCACAUAUUUCUAUGCAGAAAUACACCUAGACAAAUUAUGGGUGAGGCACAACACAACAAUGCAUGAAUUUGCCUGGUCUGUUGGCUGCCCAUACUGAUUCUUCUCAAUUGUUUUCUUCAAAAAGAGAGAGAAAAGAGAAAGAAAAUUCAGGAAACUUGAAAAGGAGGAAGCUGACCAACCUUGUCACCAAAGAAUUCAAACUUGAGAAGCCCAUCAUGGGCUCCUAGGCGUUUUCCUGUGCACGCAUAGUGGACUGCAAAGGGAAUUUGCAAAAAGGUGUAGGCCAGUCCAAUCACGGCUACUGAAACCAUGUACCUGCCCACAAUGAGCUACCUAUUUUAAACAUUUGCUUUAACAAUCUGUAUAUAUAAUUAUAUGUACUCAUAUGUUUCAUAUCAAUUAAGAUUUACCUGUAGGAAUACACAUUUUUUAACCUAAUUUUUACUUCCGUGAAGUCGAUCUUCAUGGUGGCAGAGUCUGUGGCUAUGACUAUGAGAGAUGCUAGGAGGAAAAUCAAGGUCAGGAGCCUCACCACAAGUGAGGUUAUGGUCAAGGCCUUCGACCCGGAUGAUUGGGGCAUUUUCCCUGUGUUGCCAUCCUUUAUACCCCAUACUUUUUUGUCAUGACUUGACUCAUUUAUAACACUUAAAAUAUGAGGGAACCCUAUAGAGAUAUGUAUGUAUAUUUAGUAUUCAAUAGAAACAAGAGUCCUUGUAUGGUUACUUCUGGUGGAGGGAAUGAGAUUUGUCCUCCCUGGUUUCCUCUGUUGGUCCUACAAAGUCGAAAUCAUAAGAGAGGAUGUAAGGUGUGAAAGAAGAAAGAAAGAGUACUGAUAUACAUAUCUUCUUGGCAACUAGGAAGGACUUUGUUUUAGUACCAUAAAAACAUGCAACCACUCACAUGGGCUUUCUCUCUCUCUUUUUCUCUUUCUUUUUUCCUUUCCCCAACCACAUUAUUCAACCCAUUUGAUCACUUCGAAAAUCGCAUGUGCCAGCAGAGACAUCGAUUUUACAGAUGUCAGCAUCUCCCAUGAGGCACUGCCACCCACCAUUUUUAGAGACCAGAACACUGUGUGUUGUAUUUUCUUUUGAAAUUUGUCCCAAAGGUUCAGCAUAAGAAGUAUCGGCAAAUUUCAACCUUCACCCAUUCACGACUGUCCUACAAAUUUGAACUGUUUCAAUCUCUUAGUUGAUACGAACGUCGAAAACAACUUUACGUACAGUUUAUACAAUCAAUGCCCAGAAUGGUUCCAUGACGUCUCAUUUUCUAGUAGAUCACAUUAUUUUCUAGAGGAGAAAAGUUGAGAGAAUUCUUAGGAACUUGGGCCUAAGAAGACGACACCAGUCACCGUUACACCUCCUAGGCAAUGCAGCUCCAACCCCUUCUUCCCUCUCUCGUCUUCCCAUCCGAACCAAAUGUCUCUAUGGGAUAAGCCAACUCCUUUAGUCAUAUAUAAAAGAAAAAACGAUUGCUAAAAAAUUGGCUAAAUAACCCUUUUCAAGUUUUCAUGCCCAAUUACCCACAAUUGAAACUCGAGAAUUAUUUCCCAAAAAAUAUAAAUUUUUAUGAUAUCUCAUAAGGAAAAUUACUAGGUUACAGACAUUUUUUAAAGUCAUGAGAACCUUUUUAAACUUAAAAUAAAUAAUAUUUAUAAAAUUAAGUAUAAAUCAUUACAAAUUUCUUAUUAAAUUUGAAUAAGUGAUUAAUCAGAAUAUAAAAGUACGUGAAGACCUUGAUCAUUUAACCGAAUUGAGGGGGACACAAAGAAAUGAAUACUAUCAUAGGUUAAUAAUUUAAUAACCUAGUUAGUAAUGGAAUUUCAAAUUGGAAUGACAGAUAAUCCAAAGAAUACUAUUUAUAGGUGUGGGACAUUGUUUUAUAAAAACCUGUAUAAGAUAAGAUUUAUGUCAUAGUCAGUUGGCCUUAUCUCCAUUUGAUCCUUCCAACUCAAUACCACCGUUACGUUACGCUGCCAGUGAUUUCUACAACGAAUACAAGGAAAUAGAGACAAAAUUUGCCAGGUUUCUUGUCUGCCCAAAUACUGGAACUCCAGUAUUUAUUCUGUCUGCUUAUCAAUAUCACAACGAAUGCAGCAAAAAUUAUUAUUGCCCAUGUAUUAUGGCCAUUCAUGAAACACUUGAAACACUUCAGAUUCUUGCCAACUGGGAUGCUUCAAUCAAUAUGGACUCAAACUGUUCAACAAGCUUCUCUCAUCUCCAUAACUUACUGAUUUGAAAGCUUGUUUUUCUCACGAAUCUCACCCAAAAUCUUGUUUUAUGGAGUACUACUACUUUCGGUGUUUGAAAUGAAAGCUGGUUUUGGAACUGUUUUUAAAAAACAAUUUUAUGUUUCUAGACUUGAAAACGUUUUUAAUAAUUUUUUUAAUUGAAAACAGUUUUUUGAGAAUUUAUUUCUGAAAAUAAUUAUUUAAAAAAAUAUAUUUUCAUUAUUUUUUAUUGUUUCUACUGUGUUUUAAAAAUUGCUUUAAAAAUAAUUUUAUUAUAAUAGAAUUAUUGAAAAUAAAAUAUUACAUAUAAAAUUUAUUUUAAAGAAAUAUUUAAAAAUAAAAGAUAAGUUAAAAAUCUUUCAAAUUCUUAAAUAAAUUUUCAUUUUAAAAAACCAUUAAAUAGAUAUUUUUAAAAACAUUUACAAAUAUUUUCUUAAAAGGGGUUAUCUUAAUAUUUAGAAAACUCACCAUAUUCAAUGCUUUUAUUUCAAAAAAAAAUUAAAAUUAAAAUUUGUUUUUAUAAUAAAAUUGAGAGCUUCUCCACCUUGAGCCCAUGGGCGAUAGAGUAUCGAGAUUUAUGGAUGUGGACCUGACUGUCCAGUCGUUAUGGGCUGGACUUAACAAUGGGCCCAUAUAAAUAUGAAUUGGUCUUUUCAGCUUCAAAUUUUGGAUCUUUGCUAACGGUUAAACUUGGAUAGUUUGGUCCGACCCAAUUCGAACUGGAUUUAAACAAUCAUUUUCAACACUUUGGAUUUCGGUUCAACCCAAUUUUAAUGUUUUUAUAAUAUUAUCUUGUAUAACAAUAUUUUUAUUUUAGAUUUUUAAGAAAAAUAUCAAAUUAUAUUAUAUCAUAUAUAUUUUUUCAUUUCUAUAUUAAAUUUUAUUUUAUUUACAAUUCAAAUUUUCAUAUAAAUAUAUAUAAAAAAAAGUUUUUUUAAACAUAAUAUAAAUGUAUUUUAAAUCAUUUGGAGUUCAUUUGAAAUUGUUCUUAAAAACAGUUUUCUAUUCCCAAACUCAAAAAUAUGUUGAGUAAUUUUUAUAGAAAAUAGUUUUAUAAGAACUAGUGUUUUCUAAGAAUAUAUUUUAAUUAUUUAUACUUGUUUUUUAAGGGUUAUCUUAAAAAUAAUUGAAAGAGAAUUAUUAAAAAUAAAGUAUUACUUAUAUUUAAAAAUAUGGAAAACAUCUUGAGAAUGUUUCAGGUUUUCAAACAAACUUUUAUUCUUAAAAAAACAUAACAAAAUUAUUUUUUAAAACGUUGCAAAACACCUAUAAUUUUUUCUUUUCAAACCCAAGAAGCAUGAUAAUUACGAAGAGAAAGUGUCUAGUGAAGUCUCUAAAUUUGAAGAACCGUUUGUAGAACUAUUUUCUUAAAAGAGGUUAUAUUAAUAUUUAGGAAGCUCAGAUAUCUUCAUAUUUUCAAAGCUGCAAGUACUUUAAAAAUGGGGAAAAAAUCAUUAUAUUCCACUAUAAAAAUAAAAUUUUAUUUUUAUUUUUGCCAUUACGUAAUAUCGGAUGUUUAUUCUCCAUUAUCACCAAAAAACAUAAACCGGAUAUAUAUAUAUAUAUCAAGCAUUAGAAAUACAUGCUUUCCUAUCCACUUUGGAACAUACCUGAAUCCAUUGUGUGCUUGAUGAAGAAGUACGGAUCUUCUAAGACUACAGAGGGGUAUCUACCGUUUAUGUAAUCUCUUUGAUGAUGGGAGGGGAGAGAGCACGUUUUGUUCUAUUCCAAGAUAUUCAAAAGGGAACAGACACUUAACCUUAUAUACCCUCUAUGUCUUAGGGACCAUACCCUUUGGACUAUUGGGCUUCACGUGUCUUAGGCCCAUCAUUUAACACCCAUGAUGACAUUGGGCUCUCUACACAUAAGGUGGUCCAUACUUUAGAAAACCGAUACAAAACAAAUACGUGAAUGUGAAUAGCUUAAUCACAAACUAUGUUACAUAUGUCCGCCCAUAUUUCAACACGUAAGUCUUAAAGCUGAUAAAAAAAUUGAGAGCUUCAAGCCCAUGGGCUACAGAGGAUAGAGCUCUUAUGGAUGUGGACCUGACUCUCCAGUCAUUAUGGGCUGGACUUAACAAUGGGCCAGCCAAAUAUGAAUUGGUCCUUUCAGCUUCAAAUUUUGGACCUUCUUAGCCCAUAGGAUAUUGACCCAGGGGGCCCUCAGCACUAGUGCUAUUUCUCAGCUGACCUGGGUUUGAUCAUGGGGUUCUGAACCUGAUUGAAAAUUGAAUUGAACUGAUUAUGAUCGGUGACAGCAGCGCAACUCUGAACCAACAUUUCUUCCAUGCCAUGUCCCGCAUGGCUGUAGCUGAUAAGGUAGUUGUGAAAUCAAGUAGUGCUUUUGCUUGGUUUAGUUUUAUUUUUGUUUUUUAUUUUGAUUUUGUGUUAUUGGUGGUAGCUGAAAAAUCUCUCCCACUCAUGAUGCAUGUUCGUUAAAAUGCCUAGUAGACAAUUACUCAAUUGAAUUCGCAUGUGGAUCUGUGAUUGGUGGCUGAGAAAACGAAAAGAAAAGAAAAGAAAAUUUUCAUUUCCCAAACAGGCCCGUAGCCUGUGGAAUUAUUUUCCUUUUCCUGUAACCGAAAAUACCAGUGCUUAUAAAUUUGCCUAUAAUUCAGGAGCAAAUGCAUCAGUUUGAAACAUGGAAGUCACAUCACAUUCUCUUACCAUCUGUUAGGAAGUAGUCAACAUAUCUGAAAGAGAGAAGAGAUGCAAAGUAGAUACAAGCAACUCUUAACAGCUGAAUCACAAAUCUUACAAACCCUUUAUCUUUCUAAUCAUGAUAAACAAUACCUUGCAUGGUUCAACCACUAUUGCUUGCAUUGGAAGAUCCAGGUAUCAGCUCCCUCAACAUGGCUACCGCCUGCAACAUAUUAGGCCUCUUGGAGGGGAAGUCUUCCACGCACUGCAUUGUUAUGUCUAGGUACCUCACCAUCUCAUUAACCUCUUCAGCUUCGGCUUCAUCAGUUCCUUUGGUGACUGAAAGCAGCUCUGGGUCUAUUACUUCCAUUCCUUUUCCUUCUUUCACUUUCAUUUUCACCCACCCCACCAAGUUGGUGUCUCCAAAAUCCUCCUUAUCAGUGGGUCGCUUCCCCGUCAAGAGUUCCAAGAGAACAACUCCAAAAGAAUAGACAUCUCCUUUAGCCGUGCAGCGGAAGCUUUGAUAGUAUUCUGGAGGCACAUACCCAGGUGUGCCUGCAAGAGUGCUCACACUUAGAUGUGUGUCAAGCGCACUUAUUAGCCUUGCCAUGCCAAAAUCAGAAACUCUAGCUUCCAUUUCAUGGUCCAGUAGCACAUUGCUUGACUUCAUGUCUCGGUGUAUAAUGUGUGGUAUACAAUUGUGGUGUAAGAAACAGAGUCCUUUAGCUGCGCCUCUUGCAAUUUUUUUCCUUUCCUCCCAUGUUAGAAUACGUCGAUCUCGUGCCUUUGCCUUUCCAUGUAGCAUUUCUUCUAAGCUUCCAUACUCCAUGAAUUCAUAGACAAGGAGUCUCUCUUCUCCAACCUUGCAGUAGCCCAACAGAGGAACCAGAUUCCUAUGCUUGAUCUUCCCCAGAGUUUCCAUCUCAGCCAUAAAUUCUCGGUCUCCUUGGCAACUCAAUCUUAUGAGUUUCUUGAUUGCCACGCUUGACCCAUCUUUCAAUGUUGCCUUGAACACUUCCCCGAACCCACCACACCCAAUAAGACUUGCUGCUGAGAAGCCAUUGGUAGCCUCAAUGAGUUGUGAGAACCUGAGUUUCCUUAGCUGCCUCUGAAAAGUCGCCACAUUAAUGCUCAGUGGCUCUUUCUCCUUGUCAAUCUUCCAUGUUGUGGCUGCAUGGCAUGCUUGCAAGCUAUUUAGCAUCUUGACUUCUUCUGCCUCCUUCCGCCUUGCACGCAUAGCAAUUGCCCAGACAAUCAGAAUGCAGAUAGAAGCAAUGGAAAUGAGAACACCCAAGACAAUGCUGUUGGCCCAGGAUGCAGUGGCAGGUCUUUUGCCUCCUUUCCCAGCAGUGUUAUCUAUAACUGUUACUGGUUGAUUGUCAUCAUUUUGGCAUUCAGGCAAUGGAACUCCACAGAGCCCUGGGUUGUUUGCAUACUGGCUUGCAGGAAGUGUGCUAAGUUGCCCCCUUGUUGGAAUUUGCCCUGUUAAUUCAUUAUAGGAUAGAUCUAUUUGGACUAAGAAAGAGAGAUUUGAGAAUGAGUCUGGGAUAUGACCUUGCAAUCUGUUAUGUGAUGCAUCAAAUACACCUAAGUUUCUGAGCUGCCCAAGUGAUGAGGGGAUCUCUCCAGACAGCUGGUUGUGGCUCAAUUCAAGAACUUGUAGAGCCACCAUUCCCCCAAUUUCAUCUGGUAUUUUUCCCCGAAGCUCGUUGUAGGAGAGAUCGAGAUACUCUAAAGUCUGGUACUUUGUAAAGAGGCUUAGGACUGCACCAGAAUACAUUCUUGUAAAAUCACAAGUCUUCAAUGUUGGGAUUUGUAACAGCCGUUCAGGACGAAUUCCAGCAAAUUCCAACAAGCCUCCAACUCCUUUACAUGAAUUCCCCAAAUUCCGCACAAAUGCCAGGGUGUUUCCAGAGAGAAUUCCACUUAAUGAUUUUGCCCCAAGCUGCCUGCCAAGUCGAGGCGGGAUUUCCCCGGUAAGUCUGUUGCUAUUCAAGUCCAACCAUACCAAGCUGCUGCAAUUUGCUAGCUCUCUUGGUAUCUGACCACUCAAGCUGUUGUUGCCAAGCUGCAGAACCGCCAGUCUACUCAAAAGGCCGAAUUCUGGUGGAAUUUGGCCAGUGAGUCCAUUGCUUGUGAGAGAAAUCCAUUCCAGAUUACCGCAAUUGAACAAUUCAGAUGGGAUUUUACCACCAAGGUUGUUAUUGUUAAGGAUAAGAUCCUUAAGGUUCCUGCAUUUUCCCAACUCUGGUGGGAUUUCUCCAUCCAAGGCAUUGAACCAAGCUAUUAGCUGCUCAAGAUUCUCAAGCCUCCCAAUCUGUGGUGGAAUUGGGCCUUUCAGGUAGUUUAAGCUGAAAUCAAUAGUCUUCAGCCUUGAACACUGUGACAAUUCAGCUGGAAUUUCUCCACUGAUCAAAUUGUCCGGGAUUCUCAGCUCUUCUAGUGAAGCAGCACCUGGACAUAUAUCUGGUGGGAUGAAGCCAGAAAGCUUAUUAGAACUGAAAUCCACGACCUUUAGGUUUUGGCAAGAUGAAAUGGAAGCAGGAAAUGCUCCGGAGAUGUUAUUGUAGCUCAACAACAAGGUCUCCAAUGAGGCAAGGCUCUGGAGGAUGGAAUCUGGGAAGGGACCGGAAAUAUUGUUGUUGGCCAAAUUAAGAAGUCGCAGCCAAGAGCAAGAGGAGAAAGACGCUGGAAUGAGACCCGUAAUGUUGUUAUUGGAAAGGUCGAUUUCUUGGAGUGACCCACACGUAUUUCCCAACUCGGAAGGCAUCCAACCAGUGAGACGAUUGCGGGAGAGAUCCAAUCUUUGUAGGUUUUUGAGGCCGCCGAAAGAUGGCGGGAUCUCUCCCGUCAAGUUAUUGUAGGACAAAUUCAAAGUGUUGAGACUGGUGCAGUUGGAAAUCGAGGAUGGAAGUGAAUCCAUUAGAUUGUUUCCCGACAGAUCCAACACCACCAAGGAAGUGCAAGAAUUCUCAAUUUUCAGGCCCGAGAUGGAACCCGUUAGAUUGUUAUAAGAGAGGUCCAGAACCUGCAGCUUAUCGGAAUUCAAUAAGAGAUCAUCAGGGAGAGACCCCGUUAAAUUGUUUAAAGCAAGAGUGGCGGAAACAAGAUUCGGAAGCUUGGAGAAAAGAUUUUCAGGAACUAAACCAACCAGCCCGGCUGACGACAGGUCGAGCUGUGUCAAUCCAACGGGAAGUUGAAGCAAACCAGUAGAAUUCACAUAAAAGAGAUUACCAGAAAGGCUCAAAACAGACAACAUAUCUAAAGAAGCCAAGGGGUAGAAAGAGAGAGUUCCCUCGAGUUUAGACCCGUUGAGAUCAAGCUGAGUGACACGUCCCAGAGAGCAGGAAACCCCAUACCAGGUGCAUGGACUCUUAUUGGCCUGCCACCCCUCCAAAACUCCAUGCGGGUCCUUGUGAACCAUCUUCUUGAACGCAAGAAGUGCCUCCCCAUCCGUCUUCGUCGACCCGGACACCCCUCGUAGCUCAAUCCCAGAAACCAACGCACAGAGCAGCAGCAGCAGCUUCAGAACACGAUGAAAGAAAAGCUGAAAGGGGUUGCUCUCCAUUGAAGAAACAAGUUUGCAGAAAGACAGGCUUCUGUGAGAGAGAAAGCGGGAGUGGCGAGAAUGAUGAGAAUUUGUUGAAGCAAAGGGCUUUAGAAAAAGAAGGGUGCUUUUGAUUUGAGUUUUAUAUAAAAUGGCGAAAAAAAGGAGGGAACGUGGGGGUGGAAUAACAAAAAAGAAGGGCGGAGAAUUUGGUUUGAGGUUGGUGGGUGUCUACUUAUACGCUUCUUCUCCAUUCAGUACUAAAACACUGUGAACACACCCCCCUUCUAUUCGGAGUGAAGCCUUGGAUUUGACUUUUGGUCAAAAGGGCUGGCCCCCACCCGACAAGGUCUAUCCAAGAUCGGCGCUUUAUAGGAAUAUAUACAUCGAUGUGUUUGAUGAUCCAACACUCAUUUCCUGCCAUCAUGCGUGAGGAAUGUUUCCCAUGUAAGUUCUGGUAUAGCUGGGUGUACUUUUAUCAUUGGAUCAUGCGUUAACUUCCACCGUUGAUCCUCAAUUUUCUUGUUGGAUCACCCAAUCAAAUUGCUACCAUUAUUCUCAUCCUUUUCUCAAGUUUCCUCGAUCUAGUGGGAAAAUAGGAAAAUAUCUUAGGCAUAAAAGUUGACAGUGAAAGGGAGAAUCCAUGCUGGCUUAUAUAUAUAUAUAUAUAUUUUUUUUUUUUUCUUCUGUGGGACGGACAUGAAUCAUCACAAAUCACAUCCCAGAUUAGAAUAACACAAUAGUGGAGAGGUCUCGGCUCAGUUGGUAUAACAACCCGGACCCGAAUCCAAGUUGCCACAAAUGGGUUUGCGCAAUUUUUUUCUUUUCUGGUAAUUAAGAUGGCAAGAGGGAGUGACGGUUGGGGCCCAGUGGAGAUGGGGGAGUCAAUGAUACAGUUCAAAAAUGGAGCAUUAGUUGUAACGUUGCCCACUCAAAAAUUAGACUAAAAAACAUAACGUGGUGGCCCACGUGGGAACAAAAUCAAUGCUCUCUGAGGUUAAUGGCAUUGGAGGUGAUGAUGCCUCCAACUCCUUCCCUUCUUUAUUUAAUCCUUUUCCUCACCCUGUUGCUCUUCUUCCAUUAAAGCCAGAGUAUCAACUGAUCCUGCUUUCAUUAAAACUGGACCGGCUUAUUCUGUAUCCAAUCCAUUUUAUUUCUUCUUUUUAUUGGGUAAUUAUUAUUGGACUCCCACUUCACAGGUUUAACUCAGAUCAAGUUCCUAAAAUUAUAACAAACCCAAGAUUAGUUUCACUAGAACCAUGAUCAUAUUGUCAAAACCGUCGGUGCCAUAAGAUUAAGAAAAAAAGAAGCCUACAAAUAUCAAGGAGACCAAAAAGAUGACACUACGGAAAAGAGAGCUCUUUAUCUACAGUCCAAAUAUAAUUUAAGGCAAUACGUAUAGGAUAAAGUAAGAAAGUUUUGACUAGUUGGUAGAGAGUAAGUUCUCGAGGUUAGCAUUGCUAAUGGGGGAGGUUAUUUGGGGGUUCGCAUCAAUCAAUCAUAUGGUUAAUGAUAAAAUCUCAAUUCGAGGAUAUCAGUGCCAGCUGAGGUGGGAGACGGAGGGCCAUUGAUGACCACCGGUGGACUUGCCCUACCAAAAAAGCUAGCCUGCUCGCACAGUGGGAGGGCCAUGAGCAGAUGAUCAUCAUCAUCAUCAUCCAUCCAACUCUCUUCUUCAACCCCUACUUUCCUAGACUUAAGAGCACUACAAAAGGAGUCCAUUCUUCAAAGAAGAAACCUCUUCUGAUGAUAAUGGUGAAUUGCAUUUUGACCGUUAAAAAGUUGUCCUUUUGUUUUUAUUUUCGUUUCUUUGUUUUAAAAACAUGUGCUAUUAUUGGAUUUAUAAUGUGUUCAGCUUAGUGGCCCCUGGAAUCAUGAUUCCAAAGUGUGUAUGAGAAGAAUUCACAUAUGUCGCUGGUGUUCUCAUCACAAUUCUUGUACCAAAUCUGAGAACCAUCCCCAUUGGCCACUUGAAAGCCAUCUUCCCCUGGCAACCUGUUUUCUGAAUUAUCAUUUGAGGAUUCUUAUUUUUCAGAUCACCCAUUAUUAUUAUCCUCAUUUAAAAAAUAAAAAAAAAUUGUUUUGAGACUUGCUGUAAGCAUUAGGUCUUUGAGUUGUAUUAGCCCCUAGAUAAAGAUCUUAUGACUACAAGAAAGGUUAAGAAAAAGAAAAAAAAAAAAAAAAAACAUACAUUUUUGAACACUCACGACCUCUGAUCAUUAAUUCGGCCCCACUUAGAUCUUGGUAUUGAAAUCCCUUUCUCUACUGAUCGUUAUUGACCAUAUGUUUAUCUUAUUCUUUUACGAGGGGCACAGCAUAUUCUUUUAUAACUAUAGGUUAAAAAUCAAAAUAAAGCACUACAUCGGACGGUAACAAAAAUGCAGAUGAGAUGAUAUGAUCCAAGUGCUUUUCAAACAAAUCAAAGGAGUGGGAUAGCAUAGUUUUGCUUUUUGGCCUUUUUUUAUUUCCAUAAUUUUGGGGGAAUAUAAAAAAGGGGAGAUGGAGAUGGGGGGGUGGGAGACUUUUGAUGGUUGUGCGUAUUAGAAAUAGAAGUAAAGAGGAAAUGUAAUGUCAAAUAUUGCACGCUGGAGGGACCCCCGAUAUCACUUCCCACUAUGGGAUUUUUACAGAAUCCAAAUGAUUGGUGAUGACCCCGAAUACCACAACCCUUUUUCCACCUCUCUCUCCUAUUUUCUCUCUUUAAUCUUUGCAAAGAAAUAAACGCCACAAACCCUUUUUCAAAUCAUGAAAAAUGAUUCCCUUGGCGUGCAAGCCUUGGUUGGGCUAUGGUGUCUCUCAAUUUUUUAGAUUUUUGGUGCACUACUGUUGAGUUGGGCCUUUUGGGAUUCACGUGGACGGUUGAUCCCAUAAAGGCUUCAAGUUGUGGUAUGAUCUCGCUUUAUUCACAAUCUACUCUGCUCUUACACCUUGAUUUUUUAUUUUUCUCAGAAGAUUUGUUGAUGGGCUUUUCCAAAACAGAUCGGUUGUAUGAAUACUUUUUGUUUUUGUAAGUUGAGCAUUGGGCUGGUGCCUUUUAUUGUAAAAGCACGUAACAGCUAUAAUUUGGAAUUCUGUUGUUUGAAAUGAGAAAAACGAGAAACUAUUUUGGUUCCCAACAUGAGACAGAUUUGGACGCCACAAGAUUAUUGCUGGAUGCUCUGUCAAGCGUUUGACCGGUUCAGUUGUGACACACCUCUGGUUCAAAUCCUAGGAGAAUUUUCUUAGAGCAGCAAAAGCAGCCAGGCUCUAUCCACAACAGUGAAAAUUAGGGUACAAGGCAUCAUCAGUAAUUAGAUUCUUUUGUCUCAGAGUUGACCAUUUUUCUCAUACAAGCAAAAAGAGGUAUGGACUCCUUUUUUAUUUCCAUUGAAAGAAGAAGCCGCUAAGGACCUCGUGACUAACUACAGUUAACAGGGUGGGGAUUGGGAUGAGGGCGGUGUAACCCUUAUGAUGGCCUUUCCACAUGCCAUACCCCACUCCUUCAAAGCAAAGUUGCCCAAAAAAAAAUCAUCAAUUUGCUUUAAUUAGUAAAAAGCCUGCUUUUAUUCUGUCAUCUGUGUAGGCUUAAGGGUCCACAUGAGAAACAGAGGGUGGGUCUCAUCUUUAAGGACUUACAGUGAAAAAGGAUGGCCAUGGGUUGAUCUUAUCUUCAAUGUGAAAAAAAAAAAAAAAAAAAACCAUCUCUGAUGAUUCAAAAGGAUGAAGAUACCUCUCCUUGAGGGGAAGACAGUGAACUCUAUUCAAUUCUUUUUCUUAUUUAAAUUUGAGCCAGAAAGAUGGAAUAAUAUACAAAGGACUGCAGAAAUGAUAAGACUAGUGCUUUUUUUUUUCCUCUGCAUGCAAGCCAUCACCUCAGAUGAUGGCAUCCUAUUUAAACACAUGAUCUCGAAUAUUUUGCAAUCUUGAAUUUGUUUAGUCAUACGAAUGUACAUGGAAGCACCUUGUUUGUGGAAAAGGUUUGGAUAAACUUCUCAACAAAAAAAUGUUUUGGGCCCGUACCAGUUUGGGCAAAUUUAUUCAUUCGAACCUAUUGAUGGUGAGUCCUUGGUAUGACAUAAGGUGAGCCACAAGGACGAUAAGGUGUCAAGGGGGAGGGAAGAAUAGAUCAAGGGGAAUGUAGGAGGGAGCGAAACGACAAUGGUCCUUCAUUGAGGAUGGAGCAGCGCAGACUAUUUGAAAGGGACCCUUGGAGAUAGACUCAUAGGGAUCCUAAACCAAAAGCCUCUUACUCUUCUUGUCCUCUGUACAAAUGAAGCUUUGAACUUUUAAAUGGAGGCUAAGGUUGAAUCUCUUUGGUUGGUGAGACUCAAGUAAUAAAAGGCCUUUUAAAUCAGGGAUGGUAAUUUUGACACUAUACAACAAUAUGAUGCAAGAUGCAAAAUGAUUCAAAAUUUAUUAGGUCAAGUUAGGUAUAAUAAUGUUUAUAUUAUAAUCAUAUCAAGUUGUAUAAUUUAUUUAAUAGACAAGUUUGUGUUCCAAUUUAACUAUUUAACGUGUUAGAGAAAAUAAUCAAAUAGGUACAUAUUUUAAUCUAUGCAAAUUUAUUAAUUUCAUAUAUCUAAAAAUUAUAAAUAUUUAAAUAUUUUUAAUUAUAAAUAUCAUAUCAUAUAACUAAAAUAUUAAAUAACUAAUGUGGUAUUUAUCGCAUUUAUUUUUUAAAACAAAUACAAAUUUGUAUACAAAGGCAAAACUUCAACUUCUAUUCUUAAAAGCUCUUUUCAAAAUUUUAAAAGUUUUGGGAAGUGAAAAUGUUGUAAUUCCUUUAAAAGACUUUUCAAUUACAUAAAUGUCUUUACUCACUUUUGGUAUAAAAAUUUCUACAUUUUAUAUAAUACUUUCUAUUUCUAAAAAAAAAAAAAAAAAAAAAAAAGAGAGAGAGAGAGAAGAGUUCAAAUGUGCACUAACUAAAAAAAAUCUUAUAUAUAUAUAUUAAAUAAAAUAAUAAAUAAGUGUAGGAUUAAAAUUUUAAUUUAUUUUCUAUAUUAUAAACAUAUUAUAAUUAAAAUUUAACAAUUAAAUUAAUUAAGAUUUUAGAAAAAUAAAAAUUUGAAGUUAAAACAAUUAAAUGUAUUUUAAAACAAUACUUUAAUAAAUUUAAAUUUUUAAAUGGUUCAAACAAAUUAUAAUCAUGUUAAUAGAUUUAAUAUGUUAGAAGUACAUUAAUAGGUUCAGUAUAUUAUCCUUGUAUUAAUGAGUUAUUUGCAUGAAUUCAUACAUAAUCCAACUUAAGCAAUUUAUUAAAUAGAUUAAAUAGUAUCGUGUUGUAUAUUUCAUAUAAUAAGUGGAUUGUAAUUGUGUCGGGUCAUUCUAAUAUGAUUAAUAAUAAGUUGUAUUUGAAUUGAAUAAAUUUCUACUAUUGUUUACCUUAAUACGAACUAUUACUAUUGUUGAGAUAUUAUGAAUGCUUUCCUUAUAUCAUUCUUUCCUUAUAUCAUUUAGUGUUGAGAUAUUAGGAAUAUUGAGAUAUUAUGAAAGUUGGGAUAUUAAGAUAUUAGUUGUUAUUUCCUUAUAUCAUUCUUUCCUUGUAUCAUUUUUUCCCAUUCUUAGAAUGGUGAUUACCCUCUAUAUAUACUCUAUACAUGAACGAAUGAAAGAAUGAAUGAAAAAACUAUCAUUUAUCAAUUUGAAGAUGGUAUCAGAGCCAUGAAACUGAAAUCCUAGAUAUUUUGUCGCUAUGGUAGUCCGACAGCGAUAAACCAUCCUAAGACAAGCCUUAAUAUUGAUAAGUCCACCUUCAAAUGCACUCACUAUAAUAAGACUGAUCCCACCAGUAUGGAUAUCCCAUAAUUUCAAAGCAACAACUCUUGGUAUGACCAGGAAAAAAAUGAGGAACCGAGGGUUUGAACCAUGGACCUUUAGAUCAUGUUUAGGCUAUCAACACUUUGUUAUUAAUGAUAAUAAUCGUGAUCAACGGAAGAAGGAUUCAAAGAAAACCUUGACUGCAACUAUUGCCGAAAUAAAAACAGAGGCUAAUGUUGCUAAGAAAGCCUUUGCAUUGGUAGCUGCUAUAGAUCAUGGUGGUAAGUUUUUAAAUACUUUUACACAUGGUAUUAAUAGUACAUGGAUAAUUGAUUCUGGUGCUACAGAUCAUAUGACUUUUGAUUCUAGACAGGUUUUACCCCUUAGACCUUCCUCACAAAAAAUUGUUUCCACAGCCAAUGGUAACACAACCGCAGUCAUUGGGGAAGGAUCCUUAACUCUUACUGAUACUUUGAAUUUGGAUUCUAUUUUAGUUGUUCCAUCUUUAGAUUACAAUCUUUUGUUAGUUCUCAAAUCACUUCAACAUUAUCUUGUAUUGUCAUUUUUUGGCAUGAAUUUUGUGUGAUUAAGGACAUCUAAACAAGACAGACGAUUGGUUGUGGUAUUAAGCGGGGGAAACUCUAUUACUUGGACUUGCAGUCAAAGGGUUCAAAUAAGUUGCAACAAGCCUUGAUGGUAGAUGGAUCUGAGGGGGAGAAGAAAAAGUCUGAAAUUUGGUUGUGGCAUCAACGUCUAGGACAUGCUUCCUUUGGUUAUUUAAAAAAAUUGUUUCCUAAUUUGUUUACAAAGAGUGAUAUUUCUAGUUUCCAUUGUGAUAUUUGUAAAUUGGCUAAAAGCCAUCGUGCUUUGUUUCCGUUAAUUUUGAAUAAAAGUUCAUUUCCUUUUAUGGUUAUACAUUAUGAUGUUUAGGGCCCAUCUAAAGUCCCAACUUUGAGUGGUUCACAUUGGUUUGUUACUUUUAUUGAUGAUUGUACCAGAAUGACAUGGUUAUGCUUGAUGAAGACCAAAGAUGAAAUGAACUUGUUGUUUCAAAAAUUUCAUAAAAUGAUUGAAACUCGGUACAAUGCAAAGGUUCGGGUUCUACGUAGUGAUAAUGGUGGAGAAUAUCAAAGUUCUGAUCUUCAAAAGUAUUUGGAAGGACAUGGCAUCAUUCAUCAGACUACUUGUUCUAAUACACCCCAGCAAAAUGGAGUCGCUGAACGAAAAAAUCGGCACUUGUUAGAGGUUGUUCGUGCUUCCUUGAUAGCAGCAAAAACACCGAUAUCUUAUUGGGGAGAAACAAUCACAUCUGCCACAUACUUGAUCAAUCGGGUACCUUCCAACUUAAUUAACUUCUAAACACCUCUUCAAGCUCUUACUAAUGUCGUAGUUGCCCCAAUCGUCCCAAAUCUACCUCCUCGUGUUUUUGGUUGCGUGGCAUUUGUGCAUUUACACAAACACCAAUGCACCAAGUUAACUUCUCAUGCAUUGUAAUGUGUGUUUGUUGGAUAUGCAUUGCACAAAAAGGGAUAUCGAUGUUACUAUCCUCCAACUCGACGAAUGUAUAUUACAAUGGAUGUGGUGUUUCAUGAAGAUUCGAUGUAUUUUUCAUCUGAGUCUGAACUUCAGGGGGAGUACCAUAAGGAAAUUUAGACUCUCGAUUAUGAUUAUCAUAUCUAUGAGGAGGAUGAAUCUGGACAAUCUGAACUAGUGAACCAGGAAGUGGGUAAGUUGGAUAUGAGUGGUUAACAAUGUGGGCUCGAAGAUGUCUUCACUGAAAUACCAAACCAAUCGUCGUCUGUUGAGGGUGUUCUUAAUUUGGAACUUGAUCCAUUCAUGAAACGAUUACCACACCGUCAUAAUAGAGGUAUUCCUAAACCCAUAUAUGAACCUGAAUUGUCUACCAAAGUCAAAUAUCCCAUGAGCAACUGUGUCUAACCAUCGUUUGUCUGAAUCAAAUAAGUCAUUUGUAAAUCAAUUAUCUACUGUAGCUAUUCCUAACAGUAUGCAGGAAGCCUUAGCUGAUCCAAGGUGGAAAGCAGCCAUGAAUGAAGAGAUGAAAUCAUUGCAGAAGAAUGAAACAUGGGAACUCGUAGAAUGUCCACCAGGAAAAAAACCAGUUGGGUGUCGUUGGAUCUAUACUGUGAAGUAUAAGGCAGAUGGUAGUAUUGAACGAUUUAAAGCAAGACUGGUAGCAAAAGGGUACACUCAAACUUAUGGAAUUGACUACACAGAAACAUUUGCACCUGUAGCUAAUAUCAACACAGUUCGAGUAUUACUGUCUUUAACUGCAACCCUAGAUUGGCCAUUAUAAUAGUUCGAUGUGAAAAAUGUCUUUCUGCAUGGUGAGUUAUCUGAAGAAGUAUAUAUGGAUCUUCCACCAGGAUGCAUGGUGUCAGAAAAGCAAUGUCAGAAGGUGUGCAAAUUGAAGAAGUCAUUGUAUGGGUUGAAGCAAUCCUCAAGAGCAUGGUUUGGAAGGUUCACAAAGUCAAUGAGAGCUUUUGGCAAUCGUCAAAGUAAUUCAGAUCACACUUUGUUCCUGAAAAAGCAACAUGGUAAGAUUACGACACUCAUCGUAUAUGUGGAUGACAUGGUAGUUACAGGAAAUGAUCCUAAAGAAAGAAAAGCUCUGCAAAAUUAUCUAUCUAGAGAAUUCGAAAUGAAAGAUCUAGGUCCUCUAAAAUACUUUUUUGGGAUUGAAGUUUCUCGAUCAAGUGAAGGAAUUUUUCUGUCUCAAAAAAAGUAUGCUUUAGAUCUUUUACAGGAAACUGGAAUGUCGGGAUGUCAACCUGUUAAUACACCAAUACAAGAAGGUCUGAAAUUGUGUGUUGAGCCUAAUCAAGGAUCAACCGAUAAAGGAAGAUACCAGAGACUUGUGGGGAGAUUAAUGUACUUAGCUCAUACAAGACCAUAUCUUGCUUAUGCAUUAAGUGUAGUGAGUCAAUACAUGCAUAAUCCUGGAGAGCAACAUAUGAAUACAAUCAUGCGUAUUUUGAGGUAUUUGAAGAAUGCUCCUGGGAAGAGAAUUUUGUUCGCUAAAAAUGUUGAUCAUUAGAGUAUAAAAGUAUAUACUGAUGCUGAUUGGGCCGGUGCAGUGAAUGAUAGACGAUCUAUAUCUGGUUACUUUACCUUUGUAUGUGGUAAUCUUGUGACAUGGAAAAGUAAGAAGCAAAAUGUCGUCGCUCGUUCAAGUGCAGAAGCGGAAUUUAGAGGUAUGACUUUAGGACUUUGUGAGGCAUUAUGGCUAAGACUCCUUUUACAGGAUUUAGGUUACCUAUCUAGGCAACCAAUCCGAUUAUUUUGUGACAAUAAAGCCACAUGUGACAUUGCUCAUAAUCCAGUACAACAUGAUCGUACAAAGCAUGUCGAGGUGGAUAGAUUCUUCAUUAAGGAAAAGUUGGAUGAUAAGAUUGUGGAAUUGCCUAAUAUUCGAUCAAAAGAUCAAUUUGCCGAUAUCCUCACCAAAGCUGUCUCAAGUCAAGUGUUCUCAAAAUUUUUAGACAAGUUGGGCAUGUGUGACAUCUAUGCACCAACUUGAGGGGGAGUGUUGAGAUAUUAGAAAUGUUUUCCUUAUAUCAUUCUUUCCUUAUAUCAUUUAGUGUUGAGAUAUUAGGAAUGUUUAGAUAUUAAGAAAGUUGAGAUAUUAGGAUAUUAGUUGUUAUUUUCUUAUAUCAUUAUUUCAUUGUAUCAUUCUUUCACAUUUUUAGAAUGAUGAUUACCCUCUAUAUAUACUCUGUACAUAAAUGAAUGAAAGAAUAAAUGAAAAAACUAUCAUUUAUCAAUUUGAAGAACUAUAUAUGAAUCUGUAUUUUUCAUAUAUGUCCUCAUUCUUUAAUAACACUUAGAAGUUGUUUAUUUUUUUAACUUAUCGCUAAAAGUAAUUUGUUUUUCAAACUUAGAUGAUUUAUUUUUAAUUUUUUGUUUGAUUUAUUAUUUAUUUUUAAAUAUUUUUUAUUAAAUAAAAAAAUCAAAAUAUUUAAUUUUUUUUAAAUGAAAAAGGUUAACUUCCUCGUUCCUCAUCCCCGCCGACUAAAACAUACUAUCAACACUUAUCCCUCGUCUCAUCCCAUCUUAGUCACUUAGUUUUAUACUUUGUCUAGUUCAACACCAUGCGCCUAUUGCCAUUACCACCACAAGUGUCUAUCAACAUCCCACCUGCAGCCACUCUCAUUUCACUGACACAACAAUGACUUAAUCAAAUUUAAUUUUAAAACAUUUGAUUUUAAUUAUAUAAAAUAAAAAUUAUUUUUUCAAGGAUGAUGGUGAUAUAUUAAUUAUUAUAAUAAUUUAUAUUAUUUUAAUUUUUUUUUAAAAUAUGUUAAAUUACUUUUUGAUUAAAUAAGAAUUAAUAUAAAAAUUAUUUUUCUUAAUACAUUUAAAUGUUGAGCAUAUAAAAAAGUAAACAAAUUAACACUUAAUAAAAAUAAAAUAUUAAAAAAAUAAAUAACUUAAUAUUUAAAAUAAAUUAAUUAUUUUGAUUUAAUAUUUAAAGCUAUUUUUGAUUUUAAGUUAUGAUGUUAAAUUUAUUUGACCUUUUUAAUGACUUAGAUGAACUUAUUUAAUCAUUAAGUUGAUUUUCCAAAUACCUCAUAAUUUCUAUCAUCGGUUUUGUAGGUGCUUAAAAUUUGAUUAAAAGCAAAUAAGUUGGUCUUAACCAACUUUUAUUUCUUGCAUAACAAAGGACCCAUGAAAAUGAGUUCACACUCAAACAACGCAGAAAAGGAGUAGGGAAAGAUCCAACUUUUCACCAUCAUACAAGGUUUUAUUCGUGGACUUUUCUAAUUCACUAAAGUUCUCCGUCCCAGAAGUCCUCGAGGGAUUUGUAAGGACCAUGUUCUGAUACGAACAUAGGUGCAAGAAACCCUCUUUGCUGUUCAAUAUCAUCGAUCUUUUGGGACUCUUCCGGGCUCAACUUCCAAUCCAAUAUCUCAAGGUUCUCUUCUAUCCUCUCCUUGUUGAAGCUCUUCACCAGAAUACUCACAUCUUGCUCCAAAGCCCACCUCAAACAUAUCUACAUAAAGCACCAAGAAUUAGAUCAAAAACAAUAUGAAUCUAUUUUUUAAGAUACCCAAUUACCUUUAUUGAUAGAUUAUAAUUUAUUUUAAAUUUACUUCAAAUUGAUCUUGAUUAAUUUUUAAUUAAUCAUGAAUUGAUAUAUAUAUUAAUUAUAAAUGGGUUUAUUAAUUUCAUUUGACUUAACUAAGGGUUAGACUAAAUACAUCUUAUUACUAUUAGUUUAAAAUUUUAUCAAAUACCGUUGUUUAUCAUUCUUAUUUAUUAUUUUAUUUAUUUUUUAAAAAUUCAAAAUAAAAGGGAUAUUUGAUAAAAUUUCAAAAAUUCAAAAUUCCUAAAUGCAUUUAAUCAGAACAUUAGGGCAAGUGAUUAAAAUAAUAAUUCAUAACUCAAAGACCCAACCAAGAGCAACAAGUUAAGAUCACACAAGAAGUCCCUUGAUAUGCCAUUAUCAUAUUUCAUGACUAUGGUAAAACCUUCAUAAAAUAAUGUCAUUAGGACUAAGAAAAAUUAUUAUUUUAGCAAGUUAUUGAUUUAUCAAUAAAUAAAUAUUUAAUAAAUUUAGAUAUUUAAUAAAUUUAGAGAGAGUAUUAUAUUUUUACUCUACAAUACUUAUAUACUUAUGGUUUAUAAAUCCAAAAAUAAUGAAUAUUGUCAAAAUUUAAUACAUAGAAUUCUAAAACACUCUAAAGAAAGAAAAGGUGAUUAUUAAUCUUUUUAUUAAUAAGAAGAUAAAAAUAUUCAUAAAAGAAAUAAAUUUAGAUGAUGUUUGGUAAAAUUUAAUACUUAUUAUUUAAUGAUUGAAGUUUAUUUUAAUUUUAAUUUUUCUUUGGUUAUUGAUUUAAGACUUAUUGUUUAAUUUAUAUUUUAAGUAUUAUGGUUGUUUGAUAAAGUUAAUUCAAAAUAAUCAAAUUGACAUAUUUACCAUCAUUAACUUUAACUAAUAUUUAUACUUUUACUAAUUUUAAAUAAUAAAUUUAUUUGUUAAAAAAUUAUAUUUAAAUUAUCAUUAAUACAUAAAAUAAUUAAUUAUAAAAAUAUUUUCUAUAAAAUAUGAAUUACAAAUGUAAUAUCAUGGUUGUUAAAUAUACUUUCACUAAACAUGAACAAAUGAUAAAAAUAAAAUAAAAAAUAAAAAAUUAAGAUUAAUAAUAAAUUAACUAUUUUAACUUAAUACUUAAAAUUAUUUUUUACUUUAAAUUAUAAUAUUAAAUUAUUUUAUCAAAUAUACUUAAAUUAGUUAAGAACUUAAUGUCUUAAGAAAUAAAGAAGUUUCAAAUGUGUAAAGGUUUCAAGAAAAAAUUGAAUGAAAAAAAAAUAAAAAUAGUAAAAAAACUACUCAAUAUAAUGAAUUUCUGUUUAUUAUAUUUUUUUUUAUGAACUUCGUCGGAUACUAAUUGAUAUUCCAUUAAGCCCUUAAAUAUUUGUUAAUAUAAAAAUUAUUAUCUUAAGUAUUUGUCGAGAUUAUUAAUUUAGUACAUCAAAUUGGGCUAAAAGUAAAAGAUUUUAUUAUUUAAAUGGGAUUAUUAAUUUAUAUAGUAACAUUAAUGACCAUUCUUAUUUGAAAACUGUUUUUAUUUUAUUUUAUUUUGAGAACAUGAUGACUUUAAAAAAAAAAAAAAAUUGAAGUAUAUUUAGUUAUUUUUUAAGAACAAACUCCUGUAAAGCCAAGAGGUGAGAAAAAAAAUGGAGAAUAAAUAGAAAAGAUUGAAGCAUUACCUGAGCUACUGUCUUUCCUUUCGCCUGAGCAAUCUCUUGCAGCACCUUACAGUCAAGGACUCGGUUAGUUCCCCAAAGAGUUCCUCUGCCACCUAAUGGGGAGUAGGCUGUGACAUGGAUGCCCUUGCCAUUACAGAACUCCCUCAGCUUCUUCUGCUGCCAUAGUGGAUUCAUCUCCACCUUCUCAGAACAUUUCAAAGCAUUAGAUUCUUUGACAUAAUUUGCAACUUUUUUUCUCAAAUAUUUCAAAGGUGAUCUUAGAUUCUUUGCCAUAGUGGGUUUGCUUGGGAAUAUUUUAGAAAACAAUUAUCAAAAAAUGAUUCUUAAUAGCAGAUUUUAAAACCACCUUAAUCAUUUUCAAAAACAAAAUUAUGUUGAAAACUUAAAAUAUGAAAAUUAAUUUUCUCAACUUAUUCUAAAAGUACGGAUACAAUGCUACAUUUCUUAAGCUAUUCUUCAUAAUUUUAAUUAUGGCUUAGGACACUAUAAAAAACAACUAAAAAUACUACAAAUUUAUUAAAAAAUAAUAAUAAAUUUUUGUAGAAUAAAUUCUAAAAUAAAAUUACGUUGGGGAACUUAAAUUUAAAAAUCAACUUAUUGUAAAGAUACUUUAAACUAGUCGUAUAGUGCUAAAGUUUCCAAAUAAAUUUUUACAUUUUUAAUUAUUGCUUAAAAUAUUGAAAGGAAACAAUGAAAACAUGGUAAUUUUUUUUUUUUUAAAUCUAAAAAAUUAUUUUCGUACCAUUAGCUCAAACAUGAUUGUCCAAUUAAAAAACUAAGGACUAGAUUGUUACUUAUUUUAUGUGGUCUAUUUAAAAUAUAGUGAGAUAAAUAUAAAAAACAAUUAAAAAAUAAAAACAGAUCCCUAUAUAUAUAAUUUAUUUUUUAAACAUAAUUUUAUUUUAGAAAACAUCUUAAAAGCUAUGAAAACUAUCUUUUAUACAAAAGUUGUCAAAACGUUAUCACCCAUACCCUAUUUUUGGAGUCCAUUACACUACAAAACUGUACUUUUUUAUACUGACUUAAAAAAUACUCACUUGAUUGACAGCGGGUGAAAUCUUUGCAGUGACCAGCAGGUCCUGCAGCUUCUUGCAAGAAAAGUUGCUUACUCCUAUCAAUUUUGAUAGACCGAGGCUUUGACACUCCUCCAUGGCUUCCCAAACAGACUUGAAAUCCAGAGGAAGAAGAUCCUUCUCUUCAAAGGGCACCUCACAACUCCCAGGCUUCAAGCUCACCGGGAAAUGUAUGAGGUACAGAUCAAGGUAUUCCAACCCAAGAUUCCUAUACACGUACGUCAACCAGAAAACUUAUAAGCAUGAAUAAUUCGAGUAUGAGCAGAAAAUCAAAAAUGUUUUCAACAUUAGUUUGAUAGUUGGUAAUGUAAUUAACUUGAGAGUUCUGCGUAGUGCAGGGAGGACUAGGUCAGGGUGUGCGUCGGUGCACCAAAGCUUUGACGUGAUGAAUAGCUCCGCCCUUGAUUUGAUCAGGCCAAGGCCUAAAGCUUCCGCAAUCGCUUCACCCACGGGAGGCUCCGAGUUGUAAAUAGCAGCGGCGUCGAUGUGUCUGUAGCCCAGUUUGAUGGCAUGGAGAAUGGAUUCUUUCAUGGUUUCUGAUGCAGUGAAAGGAAAUACAGCAGUUCCAAAACCCAAGAGUGGAAUUCUAGCAUGGCCUGAGCCCACCGGCUUGCCGGCAAUAUCAGCCAUUUUCUUUGAUCUACUUCUCUACAAGGCGACACCCCAUGACCUGAUUUUGUAGCAUGGCCAGAGCCAAUGUCAUCAAUGGUCGUACUGCUUGACAGCCUGUGUUUACAGACAUAUUUUUAAUGUUAAGGAACGCUUUUAAUUUAAAAAUAAAAAUAUUUGAUAAGAUUUAUAAAAUAUUUUAAAUUUUUUUUAUAAUAUUAAAAAAAACAUUUCAUACUUAUUCUCUUAAAAACAUUUUAACUAAAAAUAAAGCAUUGUAAUUUCAUAACCCGGGAUGCCAUGUUCGCCUCCCAGUCCUGGACUCCUGGGAGCUUCUAAAAUCCUGUGCUUAUGAUUUAACAUUUUUAAAACAUUAAAUACAUUCACAAGCUUCGAGGUGGAGUGCACAUUUAUUAUCUACUACUUUCUUCUGGCAGCAUCUCGGAAACGUAGAAGAAAAUCUGGGGGGAUCACGUUACCAUGCGCCAACCCCAAAUCUUUAACCUUAUUUCUAACUUUUCAAUUCAAGUGUGAAAUGAAAAAACAAAUUAUCCUUUCGUAUGCUCAACAGUAAUUUUAAUUUUUCUUCAAAAUUACCCUCCCGCCUCUCCCAUUCCACCAAAAUCUGCCGCCACCUUGCUGACGUCAUCAUCCACGGCCGCACAGCUCUCUCCGACGUGCAAUUUCUCUUCCCCCUCUCUCGGUUCUCUAUUUCUCUCUUUUUCCUUCCCUUUCUCGACAACACCACUACUAUUACUGUCAGCGUCAUCACCACUGCAUGGCCGGCUGCCGCUCACAGUCCCCUCCGGCCGGCAACCUCCCUCUCUCUCCCUUUCCCUUCCCUCUUUGUCUCUCUUUCCUUCCAUUUCCACAUCACCACCGCCACCACUGCCAGCGACCACUGCUGCUGCUACCUCUCACAGGCGGCGACUGGCGGUCGGUGAUGAUGCCGACAAAGUGCUGGCCGGUUUCAGCGGGGAGGGACAGGCGGACGGUGAGUAUGAGAAAAAAAAAAAAAAAAAAAAGGAAAGAGGAUAAUUUUAGAAAAUCAUUAUUUAAGUGUAUUAAAGGGUAACUUUUUGUUUUUUCUAUUUAAUGGGGUUGGUGUAUGGUACAUGAUUCUGCCAAAAUCAUUUAGAGCAAGUUAUGGCGCAGCAGGGCGAGGCCCAAGGGGGGCACAUAGGGGCCCCUCUAAAUUUCAUGAGAAGAAGAUAAAAAACCUUAUAAAAUAGAGAUUUAAAAAAAAAAAAAAAAGGAAAAUUGUAAACUUUUGUCCCUCUUUAAAUAUAUAAAUUUAAUUUUCAAUUUUAAAACAUUAAAAAUAAUUUCAUUUCUAUGUUAUUGAUAAAAAAUAAAAAUAAAAAUCUAACUCGCAAGGAAUUAAAUAAAAAAUAAAAUUUUAAAACAAAUUUAGAAACAAUUGGGAAUUUUUUGAAGAUUGGAUGCAGUUACUAAUUCAUGAUGUGGCAUAAACAGAAUGAAAACUUCAUUGUCGAUUCUACGAGAAUUUUUAUGCUCGUAAAUGAUAAGAUUAUUGCGAAUAAAAAUGAAGAUAGAGUCGUAUUCAUAUACAUGAAAAUUAUAUAGGAAUAAGAGCAUCUCGAGAUUCAGGCGAUUGCAGAUGGAUUCGAUAAUCAAUAAUCAGAUGAUUCAAAAGGAACAAUUUUAACAAAAUCUUUCAAUUAAACGGUCUCUCUAACGCAUAAAUGGUUAGGAAAUAAUCGAGUUAGAGCUGUGGCUAUGAGUGCUACAGAUGGUCUAAUGAGAGGUUUCGCUACAGCACCUGCUGCUCUAGCUAAUUGUCCUUAUUUUUUAUUCUCUUUUUUUAUUAAUUUCUCUAUUUCUAAAUAAGAAAAAAAAUACAUAUAUAUUCGAAUGACAUCGAGCCUUUAUUGCAGCCCAUGCUACAAGGGUGGCUACUUCUAGGCAAACCUCCUGGUUGCCUCUACAAAGCCCCGACAUUUAUUACCAGUCAGAAUUGGACCAUAACGGAAUUUCGGUCUAUACCGACACCAUAGUCUCAUUAUGGACUCGUUGAGAAUGAUUCUGACUUAGUUCACGACCUAUUAGAAGUAGAAGGCGCUCUGAUGGGAUCCUCACGAACAGAAAAAGAUUGUAGUUAGUUUGAUAAUGAUUGAGUAACAUUGCUUCAUUUGUCUCAUACACUAUAGGGAUGGUGAGAAGAGAUAUAUUUUACAUCCCAGAGGAGCUAUAAUUGGAGAUACCAUUGUUUCUGGUACAGAAGUUCCUAUAAAAAUGGGAAAACUCCAUGGACAUGCAGAAGAGAAAUGCUAUCCCCACUCAGACUGUUGGUGUUCUUUCCGAUCUCUACGCAUUUCACCGCUCCACCGGAAAUUCCCUCUGCCCAUAUUAUACUCCAGCUUGGUAGUUUCCACCACCUGUUUAGGGUUGAGUCCUGGGAUUUGACGGCGGAUUCCGUACCUUGCUAAAAAACCGAUCCUUAUGAAAUCUAUUUAACAUUCCUAUUUAUUUUCCUUUUUAUAUUCUAAUUUUAUCAUUUAUUUCAUCACAUAUACAUUAUCUUAAUUCAUUUUUCAUUCUUUCCAUUUAUGUAAAAAAUUUCGUUUUUUUAAUAAUGUGUUUUCUUCAUUUUCGAUUCGAAUUUUUUUAAAAUUUUAAUAUUGUAUAUUUAAUUAAAUAAUAAAUUAUUUCAUAUUAAGGGAUUUUAUGCUUGCAUUCAAACUUAUGAUAGAUCAUUGUUAAGUGAAAAAAACUGUCACUUUCAAUUGAUUUUAUACUAACUAAAUAAAAUCCCAAAAUUUGUUGAAGCAAUUAAUAAAUUCUAUAUUAAAAAAAAAAAACAAUUGUGACCUUUUGACUGCAAAAAUUACUAAAAUUAUUAAAUUGGUAAGAUUUCUUCAAUUUUGCUUUCUAAAUCUAAAUUGUACAUAUACUUUUGGUAUUUUGAUUAUUAUAUGUACUAGUAAAAUAAAUUUAUAUUUUAGUAAAACCCACCCCCUCGCCCCCACCCACAAAAAUGCCGAAUCUCGUCUCAAUCAUCAUUUAUCAGGACUCUUCGAAGUAAGUUCAUUGACUUGGACCGGUCUUUGAAUUUGAACGCAAAAAUGAUUUUUUUGUGCAACCGCAUAUUGUGAGCGUAGAUAAUUAUAACCGCGCCUCAAAGCUAUGUCAUAAUAGAUCCGAACACUUGCUCGGAUCGACUUCCAGAUCUAGCACCUGGUGCAACGGCUCCUGGUGCAACAACAAGCACCAGUUUGUAAAACAUAUAAAGUACAAAUUAAUGCUUAAGUUAUGUGACCAUGAAACCAUAUAAAGAAUAACAACAAAUUGUUGUUAUUGAUAUAUUUCAACUAACUUCAAGUCUGUCUUCUUUCAUUAUAGAUGAGAUAAUUUAGUAGACUUGUUAUUUACUACAUUUUAACACCUUUAUAAUUAUCGAGUCUCACAAUUCCAAUGUCGAUAACAAACUAUUAUCAUUGGGAUUAUUCACUAUCAACAUUGCAAAUGAAAUCUAAGCAAAUAUAAUUUGUUUAAUAAUAAAAUUAAAAAUAUAUAUAUAAUCUAAGUAAAUGAGAAACAACAAAGUCUAUUCUCUGAUAAUUUUUGUCCACUAAUUUUUAGUAUUAAAUGGGUUAAUAUUUGAAUUUGAAAUUAUUUUUAAAAAUUACUAAGGUCAAUCAAUAUAAGUCUUACUCAAUUUAAUUUGAAGUUAUUUUCUUAGUAAAAAUUUUGGAAAAUAUAAUUAUGCAUAAAGAAGAAACUAAAAAAAAUUAUUUUAAAUGAGUUUUACCAUAUAAAAUUUUAAUAUUAAUUGCAUCGGUUUUAAGUUUCUUGACUUUAUAAUAUUAAUUGGAUCGGUUUUGUUUUAAGUUAUUUAAAAAAUAAAUAAAAAAUCUCAUAUAAAAAAUCACACAUGUAAUUUAAAAAGAAAUCAUAUUUAAAAAUUUUGAGACAUUAGUUGAUGGAGAGAAAAAAAGAAGAAAAAGAAUUUGAGUUCUAUUUUAUUUACCUUUUAUGAUUUCUUAAAUUAUUUUUUAUUUCUCUAUAUUAUUUUAUUUUAUUUUUAAAAAUAAAUGAAAAUGAUUUCUUCUUAUUAUUUGAAUUUCACUUUGUGUUUAAAAACUCUCCUAUCCGACCCUACAUUUAUAAAUUGGGUGUUGAAUUAUUCAUUGCAAAUAACAGAAAAAAACAUAGAACUCAAGUUGUUGCAGUGGCAUUUUAUUACAAAACAAGAGGGAAAAGACAGACGUUGCUCCACUAGAUUUCUCCGUCCCAAAACUCCUCUAUAGAUUUGUAGGGGCCUUCCUCCCACACAAACAUGUCCCCCGGAAACCCUUUCUGCUGUUCAAGUUGAUCAAUCUUUUGGGACUCUUCAGAGCUUAAUUCCCAGUCCAAUAUCUCCAUGUUUUCUUUUAUCCUCUCCUCGUUAAAGCUCUUCACAACAACACUCGCUCCUUGCUCCAAAACCCACCUCAAACAAAUCUGACGAAGCACCCAAAAAGAAAAAGGGAAAAAAAAGAAAAAAAGUCAGAGGAAUUGGGGGGAUGGGUAAAAGGCCCAAAAGGUCUGAUUAUGUCUAUUUCCCCAUUAAAUUUUGUAUGAUUAUAACCUGAUUGAAUCAUAUUAAGUCCCAAAUCUUUGAUAUUUUCCUUUGUUACUAUCCCAAUAGAAGGAGUAACAACCAUUCUAAAAACAAAGAAGAUUAAUGGGAGGCUUAACAGAUGUCACAAAAAGAGGUGGGGAUAAAGGACAACCUAAAAUUCUAAAGCUUUACUUGUAUAACUGCAUAUUAUAUUAUAUUUUAUUUGUAUAAUGACUUUAUUAUAAAAGUUUAAAAUAAGAUUAUGUGAAAGGUUGUUGGUUUAUGUUAUUUAUUUUUAUUAUUAUUAUUAUUCUUGUUGUUGUUGUGGAUAAAUUAUUUUCAUAUUUUUUUAAAAUUUAUUUUAUUUAUUUUUUUAUUAUAUAAAAUUAAAUAAUUUUAAAAUAUAUAAAUUUCUAAUUAAUUUUAAUUAUAUUUUAUUUUUCUUUAUAUAUUUUUUUAUAAUAAAAUUAAAUAUAAGAAAACAAUUUUUUUUAAUUCUCUUUUUUGUUCUUAGUAUCAUCAACGUAUCCUUCUGUUUGAAUAUUUGAAAGAAAAAAAUAAAUAUUUUAUUAAAGAAUUAAGUAUUUGAUAAAAUUUAAAAAUUAUUUUUAAAAAUUUGAAGGAAAAAUAUUUGAUAAGUGAUUUUUAAAAAAAUAUAAAUAUAAAGAAAAUAUUUUUUAUUAAAAAUACUUUAAAUUAAAAUAUUAUCAAACAUAGAAAGUUGAAUCUGGUCAUAUGACUCUGAGACUUGUCUUGUGUUUCACAAGAAGUUCGAAGAAUCUCGCACGUACCCUAAAUAAUCCAAAGCCCUUGCGGACACAUAGACUUGAGUUGUUUGAAUUAACUUAUCAGUAAAAUUUUAAACUGUAUCAAGGGAUGCAGCUAAAACGCAGAAUGAAGAAGGAAAGGUGAAGUUGUACCUGAGCAACUGUUUUUCCUUUCGCCUGAGCAAUCUCUUGCAGAAUCUUAGAACCAAGGACUUCGUUAGUUCCCCACACAGUUCCUCUGCCCCCUAAAGGAGAGUAUGCUGUCACAUGGAUAUUCUUUCCCUUGCAGAACUCCCUCAGCUUCUUCUGCUGCCAUCGCGGACUCAUCUCCACCUUGAGAAACGCAAUGCAUGCAUAUUGGAAAAGAAAUUGUCAUAUUUGAUCAUUUGAUAUACUUUAGACUUUACUCAAAUACCUUAAAGUAUUUGUAAGACAUGUCCAUCGAAGGCAUUUUUUUUAAAUAGAAAAACAUGAAAAAUAAAAUAGGAAAGGGAUAAACUUUACUGAUAGUCUAAUUCGAAUAGGUCCAAGCUCAAGCUCUUCACCCAAGCAAGCCCAUACCUAUGAUAGUUAUGGUGGAUGACAAAUUUAUAGGCGGCUUUUGGUUUUGUCAAGGCAAAAUGUCAAUACAAGUGGGACCAUGGCAUUUGAAAAUGGUCUUUCGUAUGUAAAAUGAAAAUAUGGGCCCCAUGCUAUGCUUGUAUAUGCGAAGAAAACGUUUAAAAAUUGUCUACACAUUAUUGUUAAAUUUUAAAUGAAUAUAAUUAUUUAUGAUUUAUUUAUAGUAAAUGUCAAUAUAAUAUAAAUGAAAAAAGCUAAUAAUUUUAAAGGGAGUAAAAUAUGUAGCUAUUAAAAUCCAAACAAAUUUAAAUAAUAAAAUCUUAUUUCAUCUUAAUGAUUAAAAGUUGCAUAUUUAAUAAAAUUAAAAUUAUUAAUAGUUGAAUAAAUCUUUGAAUUAUUCUUAAAUUGUUAGUAAUAUUAAUGAUGAUCAAAUAAUAAAAUAAAUUAUAUUUCCAAUGUUUCUAAUUUCCAAUGGUUGGUUCGUCCAUUAAAUUGUGAAUUAAUUAUUUUUUUGAUUUAAUCACUUAUAUGGUUUUGAAAACUUCGUAGGAUAUAAUAAUAAUAAGAUAUUGUCUUAAAAAAAUUCUAGAUCUUAUCUGAAAAAAAUGGUGAUUAUUUUUUACCAAAAUUGACAGUCUUUUCACAAUCAUCGAUGACCAACAGAAGCCGCCCCAAAGGAAGGCAUCUUUAGUUCAAUGACGGCGGCUUAUGGAAAUGAUUACAACGUUUACGUAGAUUCACCCACAAUGAAACCCAAAUGGUUAUAACCUUUAUGCGACGGUUAUGAGAGUGAUGAAGAUGCUGACGCAAAGGAUAAGCCAUUCAAGAGCACUUACCUGAUUGACAGCCGGAGGAAUCUUAGCGGUGGCGAGCAAGUCCUGAAGCUUCUUGCAAGAGAAGUUGCUUACUCCUAUGGAUUUUGCGAGGCCGAGGCUAUGACAUACCUCCAUGGCUUCCCAGACGGACUUGAAAUCCAUGGGAAGCAGCUCCGUUUUAUCGAAAGGAACCACAUAACUCCCUGGCUUCAAGCUCACCGGAAAAUGAACGAGGUAGAGAUCAAGGUAUUCCAACCCAAGAUUCCUAGAAAAUAAAACAUUAACAACUGUGAGUUAAUUUCAUUUCAUGAAUAAAAAGAGCAGAAAAUUAAACAAGUUUCACCACUGGAAAGUUGGUAGUGAAAUUAACUUGAGAGUUUUGCUGAGUGCAGGGAGGACUAGGUGAGGAUGGGCAUCGGAGCACCAAAGCUUUGAGGUGACGAAUAGCUCUUCCCUUGAUUUGAUUAGGCCAAGGCCUAAGGCUUCGGUAAUGGCUUCACCCAGGGGCUGCUCCGAGUUGUAAACAGAAGCGGCGUCGAUGUGUCUGUAGCCCAGUUUGAUGGCAUGGAGAAUGGAUUCUUUCAUGGUUUCUGAUGCAGCAAACGGAAAUACGGCCGUCCCAAAGCCCAGAAGAGGUAGCGUAGACGAGCCAAUCGGCACUCGUGGAAUGCUAGCCAUUUUCUUUGAUCUACACCCAGGAUGACCUUAGCCAUAUACUUAUAGAGAAAGAGAGAGAGAGAGAGAGAGAGAGUCAUGUAUGGAGGGAUUUUGAAAAGGCAAAUUAACGGGAGAAUUGUGUGAGAUGGGCCUCAAAAUUGACCGUACAUUCCUAUCUCACCUCUAAUUAUUUUAAGGAUAUAAAUUAGCGAAGGGAAAUAUUGACCUUUCAUAUAAGUUGUUUUGGUCUUUAUUGCACCACAUUCGCAUAGAAUAAUUUUAUUUUAACCAUUUAGAUUUUUUAUUAUUUUUAAAACUUUUUUAUAUAUAAAUAAUUGAAAAUCAACAUUAUUUUCUAUUUUAAAUUAUAAAAAAAAAAUUACGUUCAAAAACUAUUUUUAAAAAUAAAAAUUAAAACUUUGUUUAGUACUAUUUUUUAUAUGAAAAUAAUAAAAGGAAUUAAAUUUCAUUUAUUGAUUAUCCAUUUUUAUUUUUUUCAUUAAUUAUUUUAAUAAUAAAAUAAAUAAAAAUAUAGUAUGUUCACAAUUAAACAAAAGAAUUGGUCAAUUGUGUGUUUUUUUUUUUGUGACUAUCUUUUACAUGAAAAAUAAUUAAAUAACUAAAUUAUAUAUAUUUAUUACUCUUUUUAAUUUUAUUUUCUCAAUUUUUGUUGUGUAAUAAAAAAUUUUAAUAUAUCCAUAAUUAACAAAGUAAUAGAUUAAUUACACACAUUUUGAUCUAUUAAAAUAAAUUACUUUCUAAUUUAAAUAAAUAAAAUGAAAUAAGUAAAUAAAUUUGAGUUGUUUCUAUUUUCUAACAUAUCUUAUAUUAACAUUUUUUUAUGGUUAAAUAUAUAAGUUUUUUAUUAUUUUUUCUUUAAUUCCAAAAAUAAAAUAAAAUAAAUAAAUAAAUCUGGUAUUUUUUAACCGAUCUUAUAUUUAUAUUUCUUAAGGUUAAAUAAAUUUUUUAUUUAUUUUUCUUUAUUUCCAAAAGUAAAAGAAAAUAAAUAAAUUUGGCUUAAAUAAUAGUUUUUAAGUAAUUUCUUUGUUUUAUUUUUAAUUAUAUUUUGCAUUAAAAAUAAAAUAAAAUAUUAUUUUAUUUGUUUUAAUUAUUUUAAAUGUCAAACUAUUGAAAACAUAAUUUACACACUCAUGUGGACAUAAUUUAUGCAUAUAUAUGAAAUUUAUACCAUUGUACAAGACUGUUACACUAAUUGUAUAAGGAAAAGUAUACUAAUUUAUAAGGGGUAUACAAGAUUGUACAUUUUAAACAAAUUUUUUUUUCUUGUCAUCUAAGGAUUCUACACAUUCCUACCAUAAAUUCUUUCAUUUCAUAUACUUUAUUUAAUUCACAUAUGACAAUUUAAAUACUUACCCCAAUAAUGAUGUUUGAAGAAAAAUUUUAUUUUUACAUUUUAUAUCAUUUUUUAAAUCAAACCAUUUGAAAUAUGGUUCACACAUCAUAUGUGGACACAUAAUAUAUACAUGUGGAUGAAAUUUGUAUCAUUGUACAAGUGUAUCAUACUAACUGUACAAGGUAAAUGUUCUAACUAGGCAAGACAAAUGUCUUAAUUGUACAAAAGGUGUACAAGGCUAUCAUUUGUGAAAGAUUUCAAUCAAUUUUGAACAACUAUUUUUUUUUUGUCAUUUAAGGAUUGCACACUCUCAUGACACACAUUUUUCUAUCACACACUCAUCUUAUGCACUUUAUUUAACUCGCACAUGACAAUUCGAAUACUUAUCCCACUAAUGAUGUUUGAGGGAAAAUUUUGUUUUUCUAUCUUCCAUUAUUUUUUUAAUUAAACAAAUGGAAACAUGGUUAACCCACCUAUGGACACACAUUGAGUAUGAAGUAUAUGGAAUUUGGGUUAUUGUACAAGGUAUUUACACUAAGUGUACAUGACAAAUAUACUAACUGUAUAAGGGUGUAUAAAACUAUCAUUUGUGAAGAAUUUUAAGUGAUUCUAAAAAACUUGUUUGUUUAUUUCCCCUAAUUGAGGAUAGAUGACAUUCCUAACACACAUUGCUUAAGUAUACAUUCAUCUCAUGCACUUUAUCUAACUUGUGUAUGGUUAUUUAAAUAGGUACCUCACUUAUGAUGAUUGUAAAACAAAAUUAUAUAACAAUUUUUCGUCUUCCUUUAAACCAAACCAAUGAAAACAUGGUUAACCAACCUAUUUUCAGAUAUUCAUGAGAUGAUGUAUGAAAUUAGAGUUAUUUUCAUGGUUUUAAAAACCGGACCGAAUCGGCCGGUCCGACCGAUAGGUUGAAUCGGGAUCGGACUGGUUGAAUUGACGGUCUGAUCAGUGAACUGGACGAUUCGAUUAAAUUUUUUUUUCAACAUCAAAAGGACGUCGUUUUGAUGUUUCUAGCAUCAAAAUGACGCCAUUUUGGAGGACCUCCUUCCAAACCUUCCCUUUUCAAACCGCAGCAACUACUGCCCGCCUCCAGGCCCACCCCAACGUGUCGCGAUAGGCUUCCAUCGCUGGUCGUUUCACCUCAAUGGCAGCCACAACUCUACUUCAUCCUCCUCCAACAAUGGCAACAAGAGCAUCAAGUUCAUUAAGAAGACUCUCUCCUUGAUAGACACUAGUUCAAUGCUUUCUACCAAGGUCGUCCCAAAAGGGUUUCUAGCCGUGUGCGUGGGAAAGGAGUUGAAAAGGUUCAUCAUCCUGAUAGAGUAUAUAGGUCACCAGGCAUUUGGGCUUCUGUUGAGGGAAGCUGAAGAAGAAUUCGGGUUUCAGCAGGAGGGUGUGCUCAAGAUCCCAUGUGAAGUGGUUGUGUUUGAGAGGAUCUUGAAGGUGGUGGAAGAAAAGAAAGUUGUGUUCUUCUUGCAUGAGUUUGGAUUGAAUGUAGAGAAGGAGAUGAUCGAUUGUUGCUCAUCCUCAGAUUGUGAGUUCACACAUUCUCACCAUCCUCAAAUGUGUAGGUGAUCAGAAGAUGAGAAAACCAGAUUAGAUCAGAUUUCCUCAUAUUGUUGCUUGUCCCACCCAAUUAGUAAUUUAAAUUUCAAUUUGUAAUAAUAAAUUGGCUGAGAAGAAAAGAAAGAGGCAUCGACUGUAGAUCGCAUAACCCCCCUUCUCCCCUCCCCGAUUUGUGUAGUGGCAGUAGCUGCUCCAACGUUUUAUUUUUAUUUUUUAUUUUAUGUUUUAUUACUUUUAUAUUUAUUAUUUAAUGUGUUAUUUUUAUUUAUUGAUCAUAAUUUUGAUAAAAUAUUGUAAAAAAUUAGAUAGAAUUUAUUAUUUUUUAAUUUUAAUAAUAUAUAAAAUAAUAAAAUAUAAAUUUAUGACAUCACCGAUUCCACCAUCGAUUCAAUCAGUGAACCGUGAAUCGAUAACUUUUCUGAUUCAAUGAUCGGUCCGUUUUUGAAAACAUUGGUUAUUGUACAAGGGUAUAACACUAGUUGUACAAGACAAAUUUAUUAACUGUACAAGGGUGUACAAGACUACUUUUUGUUAAGAAUUUCAAAUGAUUUUGAAAAACUUUCCUAUUUUUUCCACUUAAGGAUUUUUCCCUACUCAAAUUCUCUCACUCAAGAAUUAUUUCGAAUUUUAUUUUUAAAUUUCAUCAUUAAAAUUUUGUAAUUGCAUAUUUUUUUUUUGAGUGAAAUUUUAUCCAAAUGAAUUUAUAUAUAAAAUUAUAAUCAUAUUUAUCAAAAAUUUUACUAAGAUUAUCUUUAAUUCUUUUCACAUAUUUAUACUCAUUUAUUUAAAGAAUAAAAAACUAUUUUUUUUGUAAACAUGUUCUAUUACCUUUCAAGUAAAAAAUUAAAUAAGUUUGGAAGUCAAUAAAAAAAUUAAAUACCAUUUUUAAUAAUUUUUAGAUAAAAAUUUAUAUAACAUAUUUUAUUUGAAAUUUAAUUUCUAAAGUUUCACUAAAAAAUUGUAUUGAUAAUUUUCUUGCUAUAAGUCAAAAUACUUUGCGUUAGUUUAUCUAGAUAAGAAAAAUUAUUAUAUAAUAUUAGAACUUCAUAUCUUAGUUAUUUUUUUUAAUAAAUUUAUCUUUUUAAAAAUUUUAAAAUAAAAAAUAAAAAAUAAAAAAGCUAAAAGAAUAUAUAUAUAUAUAUAUAUAUAUAUAUAUAUAUAUAUAUAUAUAAUAAGAGUGAAGUGAUAGUCAAUUUUUUAAUUUUUUAAAAUAUGGUUAAUGAGGAAAAUAUAAAAAAUAAUUAAAAAUAAGAGAAAAUAUAAAUAAAAAGGCAAUGUAAAUUUAAAAUAAAAAUUAAAAAUUAAACUAAAAGAUAAAAAAUAUUUGGAUGAAAAAUCCCAAAAAUUUUAUCCUUACUUAUAAUAAGAGUAAAAUGAUUCAAUAUCUUUAAAAAUGAAAAAAAAAAACAUUAUUGUUUUUUAUUUGACAUAAAAUAGAAAUAUAGAUAGGAAGACAAAGAAAGAAAAAAAAAACAAAAAGUUAGAAAUGGGUAAUACUUACUAGGGAAUAUAAAAGGGAAAAAAAAUAUAAAAAAUUGAAAUUCACACUGUGUCUAUGUGGGGGAUAAGGAUAUUUUAAGAAUUAAUGAAAGAUAAUAUCCUUCAACUUAAUUUUUACAUUUUAUUUGAGUCUUAGACUUAAAUGUGCAUGAUAUAAGGAUCUUUGGUCAAUUUUGAGGCCCAUCUCACCUCAAAACACAAUUCUCCCAAUUAAAAUAUAAAAAUUAUUUUUUAAAAGAUAACUUGAAAAUUCAAUUUAAGUUGUAUCUUUAAAAAGAGAAUUUUCAAUUGAAUUAUUUAAAAAUGCCAUAAACUUGAAAAUAUUUGAAUUAUUUAAAAGGAUUUUUUAUAUGAGUAUUAAAUCAUGGAGAGAGAAAAAAUGAUAUCAUGUUCAAUUUUAUUUAUUUUUUUAGUUUUUUUUUAAAAAAUUCUAUAUUUUUUUUAAACUAGUAAAAACAACUUCUGUUUGUUUUAUAAAAAUGAGUUUCUAUUUCAUUUUGUUUUUUAAAAUCUAAAAAUAAAGAACAAUGACCAAAUAGUGUUGUGAAUUUUUAAAAAUAGUUUUCAAUAUUUAAAAAUAAAAAAAUUGUUUUUAAUCACACGACCAAAUAGGCUCUUAUAUUUCAUAAUAGAAGCCUCCCAUGUUUGCGGUGGAGCUUAUCAGUAUUGACGAGAAAACCAAGGUGAUAUGAUCUUAGAGAGACUUUGUUGAAUUUCUUUAUGCAAUUCAAGCUCAACCAUUCUAUGAAUUACAUCUGUAUUAAGUUUUUUUACAUUGAAGUUUCCAAAACCCUAUGAUUUGAAAGAACCAAAAUUAUUAUUUGGCUAUAUAAAAAAUUACCUUCAUGAGUUGGACCAUAAAAGGAGUGAAAAGACUGUUAAAGUAGGGUUUCUCUUAAAUCUUAGCACAUGAGGAUGGUGGAAUCGUCUCUAUAGGAAUGUAAACUAGAGCUCUCUUUGAAAGAUAGAAUUGUUGGGAUAGAGCUCUUAAAAAUAUGACAAGAUGUAAUAAUAAAUGAAAUUCAUUAUGACAUGAUCAAAAUUCAAAUCAAGAGUGAGAGACAAAAUGGUAAUAAGCCCGAUUACUAAAGGAGCUUGUAGAGAAACAUCUUAAUUUGAGAUAAAAAGUAGUGGAUUUUAUUGUUUUAUGUUGAUGAUAACUUAAAAUAAUUUUUUGGGAUUUUUUUAUUUUUGAUAAUUUUAUUUAGGUAAACAUUUAAAAAAAAGUUCAAUAACUAAAAUGGGAAAAUCAUGUUUUGAUUUACUUGAAAUUUGCUUCUAUUGCUAAAUAACUUAAAGUCAAUUAUUAAUGGAGGUCAAAUGGCGAUUCAUUAGCUUAACAUGAUCAAUUUUUUAUUGCAAAGGAUUAGCAAGAAGAAUAAAGUGAGUAAAAGUCUAACUACCACAUAAAUCAUACCAAACCUUUUGAGAUCAGAUCGAUAAUGGAAGGAAAAAAAAAAAAAGAUUGAAGGGUUACAGUAAAAGAAGACAAAGGGGGUCAUACCCAAAAGCCACUUAAGGGCAUGAUAAUUAUUUUAUACCUUCAGCUCCAAUACUAAAAAUGCAAAUAACUCAAACUAAUUUCUUGUAAUUAGAAAGUUACCAAUUACCAAAUAUUUAUUCAAAAUAAAUAAAAAUACAAUAUAAAAAUAUCAUAGGAAUCAAGUUUAUUUUAGGUAGGUCAUGAUCUUAUUUAUUAGGUAAAGACCCCUCUAAUUAAUUUCUUUGCCUUAAACUUACAAAGUUUCUUAAAACAAGAUUAACAUACUUUUUACUUUUAGCCAUUAAACUAUACAGCUCAACCAAGUGUGUAAGCUAAUUUCUUGUUGCUUUUGGAUAAACUUCACUUUUUCUAUUUUUAGAAUCAUAAAAUAGUAAUAAAUUUUACGUAAAAUAUAAAAGCUUUAUGAGACUUAUAUUGAAAAAGGUUACAUUAAAUUUUAAAACUAUUUGAAAAAAAAAUUAAGGCAUUAAGAAAAAAAAUUUCUAUCUCAAAUUUUAAAAUUUUUUUAAAAGUGAUUUUUAAAGAUAUAAGAUAAAUUUACAUUUUUUUCGUAUAAAAUAUUCUAUUUUUUAUACAGAAGUUUUAAUUUUAAAAACAAGAAGCAAAAAUUGUAUUAAUUCCAUGUGUUAAUGGUUUAUAAUGCUUUCAUUCUAUGUGGUUUGUAGAGCCGUAAGAGGUGAGGUUAUGUUGUAUCCUCUCCAUGUUAAAAGCUCUUCAAAACAACACUCCUUUCUCCAAAUCCGCUCCCCCGUCUCUAACAAAUUAAUCCAUGGGUUCGUUUGCUGAUGGUGCUGAUCAUGCAAUGGUUAAUUUGAAUGGAGAUAUAAUAUAUUUUUUUUCACUUAUUUAUUUUUUGUAAUUCUUGUGGAAUAAAAUAAUUUCUUUUUAAGUUGACCGUUUACGCAUAUAAUUGACAAUGUAAAGAAGCCCAUGACCUACUUAUGCUACAAAUACUUUCCUGAAAAUAUUAAGACAAAAAAGCUACACUUCUUGUAAUAGGGACACCAACCCGAACUGGUUAUUACCUCCCGAACAAUGACAACUUUGGACUAUUAAGUUAAAACUCAUACUUGUUUCAAGGGUUACCCCCUAAACUAAACUAUUGACUCGUCAUUUGACUAUAAAUACGGAUCAUAACUUCAUUAUAAGUUUCUUUAUUAUUUUUUAUUUUUUAUUUUUUAGACGAUAAGGAAAUUAUUAUAAAUUUUAUUUUCAUAUUGAAUCAUUAUUAAUUAGUUUUAUUAUUAAAGAAAGGUAGUUCUAAAUAUCUAUUUUUCAAACAUAUGAGAGAUCAUUCACAUUGCAUUUUAGGAUCUAGCAUUAAUUAGAUAUAUUUUUAAUAUAAAUAAAUUUUAUGUAACAAUAGAAUAUUUUGUACAAAAAUAUAUUUUUUAUUUUAUAUCUUUCAAAAACUUUAAAAUUACGUAUGGCAAAAAAUAUUUUUUGAUACUUCAAUAUUUUUAGACAAUUUUAAAAUCAUAAUAUUUUUUAUGUAAAUUUAAAAAAAAAUCUUAUAUCUUAUAUAAAAGCUAUUAUUGUAUUUUAACUUUAAAAACAAAAAAUAUAAAGUAUAUUGAGAUAUACACUUCCCUUUAAUAUUAAUUACUUGUAUAUAUCAAGAAGUCUUCCACAGCUUGUAAAGGAAUUUAGACUUAUAAUAGGACGGACAAUCUAGUUUCUAUCUUAUUCUGGUGGCCACUCAAUUCAACCGGUGAACAUUAUGAUAAAUCAUUAUUACAAUAUCGACUUCUCCUCCAAUGACAACCCGCCUCCGAAAGGAUGAUGUGUUUCUUUAAAGACCACUUGUUUUUUAAUCUCUGGUUGGUCGGGGUUGUUAGGUCCCAGAUGUAGACGGCAUCAAAUUAGGUCCAGUUAUAGAAAAUUUGGAGAGAUUGAAGUCCUUGGCCUAUUUUAGAUCCACAUAGGGUCAGGGCUAACUUGAGUUGAAAUGUUACAUGGCCCCAUCUUGUUAUAAAAAUUUAUAAUAUUCAUUUAUUUAUAAAUUAUAUUUAUUUUUAUAUAUUAAAAAAAUAAAAAAACUUAAACAUUUUAGAAAUGACAUUUCUAUACAAACCUCACCACCCCUAUUUAAUUUAUCAUUUUUGCUAAAAUAGAUAUAAAUAAAUAUGAUCAGUUAUAACAGAACACCUAUCUUACUGUCAUCUCUACACAAAUCUUUUAAGAAUCUUUAAAGAAUGGUGAAUAAAUAGCCUUUUCGAAUCCUCAUAAUAUCAAGUUUUGACUUGUGAUGUAUUUUUUUCCUUCAUCAAACGAUAAAUUAUAAGAUAUUUUAUAUUACUCCAAUGACUCAAAUUAUGAAGAUUGUGUUAGUAUUGUUGAUUUUCUUUAAUCUAUUAGAAUUAUUUUAAUAACCUAAUAGUGAUUGAAUGAGUCUUUACUUUAAUUUAUUAGGAUUUCGAAUUGUUAUUUUAUUAUUAGGCUAUUAUAAUUUUCUAUAUGCCAUGAAGAAUAAUUAAAACAUAUAUAAAAUAUCCUUCUCAUAAAAAUAAAAAAAUAUUUUACAUGUUACACUUGGUAUCAAAGAUAAUUUAAAACACAAACCAAUAAUAAGACAAUCCAACCCCAAUUUCUAAAUUUUGGUAAAAAAAAAACAUAAUUUUAAAAUUUUGGAGGAUUCAUAUGCAACUGUUAUUUCAAUAUCAAGAUCUUUGAGGUGUUCUUGAUCAAGAAUUUGGGAUAUCAACGAAUUAAGCAAAACUCACACAAAUAUUAAAGAUAGUUGGACAAAUUUUAGAGAAAAAGAACAAGAUUUAAAGGCUCCUCUUUAUAGCUACUAAUUGAUAGAAGUACUUAUAUUUUUUAAAAGAUUCUGAAUGUAAAUACAACAAAAGAUGUCUAUGAUGUCCUCAUUAAUAAUAGUAAAUGAGGACAAAUGUGAAAGAAAUCCAACAACAAAUCUUUGAAAAGUCAAUGUAGGCUAUACUAAAUAGAGAAAAUAUUUAGAGUUUUUCAUAGACAUUAUUUUUUGGUAAUUAGAUGAAAACUAAUAGCCACAAAAUCCAAAUUUCUAAGUUAUGGAGAUAUUUAAAAAAAAAAAAUCUAAUCAUAUGGUUGAGUGCAACAUGAUAACCUUUAAAGAAUUGAAAGAGCUUAAUACCAUGAUAUUAUAGGUUUCUUGCAAGCCCAUGGAUAAUAGUUGGAUUAAAACUCUCAAAUCAAGGUGAAAGCAUUACAAAGCUAAAUUGUCUUACAAGGUAAAAAACAAAGUGUUAAGAUAAUCUUGAAUCGAGUAAUGAAGGUCAAAAUUUAUACAACAAGGAACAAUGAAAUUUCGUAUCAUGUUAGAAAUGAGGAAAAGAUAGUGAUUCAAUUCAAACAACAAUAAAUAUCAUAUUCAAUGUUAGACUUGUAAAAUAUAUGAUCAUUACAAAUCCAAGCAUAAAGCUAAAAAACCAAAUAAGAGAAAAUUUUAGAGUAAUGAGAUAAAAUUGAAAUUUUUUUAAUGCACAUUAUAUUAAUUAUAUGUGUAGUACUAAGGAGAUGAGUCGUUUUACUUUUGAGGUGAACCUUGGGAAAUGAUAUAAUAAUGCUAUUACGUUUGAUUGCAUAGUCGUUUUACAACAUUUCCAAAAAAAUUUACUAAGAAAUAUAAAGUAUACACUUCGAAAUUUUUAAGAAAAAUGAAGAGUUAUUUUAAAAUGUUUGAUAGUAAAAUUAUGGUACAGGUAGACUGGUGGCAGGGAACACUAUUUCUUUGUGGGCUGGGGCAAGAACCUCUUGGCUAGAGAUUCUACCUCUCCGCACACCAGCUUAUAUGAACUACUUUUUGGCAUUGAUUGACGACAUUUGCUUUAUGGGGAAAAAAAUUUAUGAGCAGAGCCAUCUCAAAACUUUGGAUAUUCAACUGGACGUGAGAAAAAGAGUAUACAAUUAUUCAAAGUUGACGAGCUAUUCAUUGGGGAUUGCCCUCCCCUAAAUUCCUUCCCACGUUUAUCAAAUGGUAAUUGAUCACAAAAAGGUUCAAUUCAUUCACAAAUAUGACUCUUCUCUAGUCAAUUGGGAGUGGCGCUCAGCCAUACUCAUUUUAAUCAGAAUUGAAUCUCCUCAUCCCACAGUUCCACGAGAGACCUGUAGGGGCCUUCAUCGCUAAUGAAUUCCAGAGCUGGAACCCCUUUAAAUUGCUGAAUUUGAUCUAUUUUCUGUAUAUCCUCCGCUGUUAGCUCCCAAUCGAAUAUCGCUAGAUUCUCUUUCAUUCUUUCCUUGUUGAAACUCUUCACGACAACACUCACACCUUGUUCGUAUAUCCACCUCAAACAAACCUUCAAAAUCAACACGACCAAAUUCAAAUUGUGGCAAAAACAAUCACCACCAAGUUAAACAAAUCAGUUUUUUUUUUUUUUUGAAAAAAUAAAUUAUGAUCAUGGAGGCCAAGAAAAAAGCACAUUGGAUACCCAGACUUUGUGGGGUAGCUUUUGGAUUCUCAAUCAACACAUACUAUAUCUCCACCGCAACAUUUAAGAAAAAGCAUAUCUUUAUGUCAUUGGUUUUGCAUUAACAGAAGCAGUCCCAUCAAGAUAUGAAAAAGGAAAAAAGAUAGACAAAAUAAAAUAAAAUCUACCAUCAAUUGAUGCAUCCAGUAAAUAUGAAUUGCGAAAAAGGGUCAACUUGUUAGUGAGUUUCAGCCGAACCAGUUAUUCCUAAUUGGAAAAUUUGGAAGGAACUGAUGUAGAAGAAAGCAAGAAGCUGUUGGAUUAUGUCCUUUCAAUCUUUAUGGCAGCACUUCUAUUAUAUACUUAAAAAUGGCAAUUUUUAUGGCUCGAGAAUUUUACCUGAGCAAUCGUUUUGCCUCUUGCUUGGGCAAUUUCUUUCAGGACUUGACAUUCCAUAACUCUGUCACCUCCCCACGGUGUUCCUCUGGCACCCAAAGGAGAGUAGGCCGUGAUGUGGAUUCCUUUCUCUGUACAGAACUCCCUAAGCUUCUUCUGCUGCCAAAGUGGGUUCAUCUCCACCUUCCCAAACAGUUGUUAUGAUUAGUGGUUUUUUUCUUAAAAAGAUUAGUCGAUUUGUUUAUUUCUUGAUACACCCAUGCUUCUCAUCUUAUAAAAAGUUCAACUAUAUGAAAGGAAAAUUCAAUGUUACUGAAGCACAACACUUCCGGCAGAGCUGCCUGAAAUGAAACACUCACUUGAUUGACGGCCGGAGGGAUUGUGGCUAUGCGGAGCAAGUCAUCAAGCUUUUUGCUUGAGAAGUUGCUUACACCUAUUGCUUUGGUGAGACCGAGCUUCUGACAGUCUUCCAGGUCUUUCCAAACGGACGCAUAAUCCAUGGGGAGAAGGUCCUCCUUCUUCACGGGAAACUCAAAAUUUCCAGGCUUCAUGCUUAGUGGCCAAUGAAUGAGAUAGAGAUCAAGGUACUCCAGUUCAAGAUUCCUACAUAAACCAAACCCAAAAUGAAAAAUUAAUAGAGAAGAAAGAUCAAAUAUGCGAAGUAAUUGAUGGUAUAGCUAGAGAAAAGAAUAUGAUAAGAAGUGUUUGGUUUAUUACUUGAGUGUUUGUUGCAGUGUAGGAAGGACGCAGUGGGGGUGUGCUUUGUUUCCCCAAAGCUUUGACGUGACAAAAAGCUCAUCCCGCGAAUUAAUGAGCCCAAUCUGUAAAGCCUUUUUUAUGGCUUCACCAAGGGGUUUCUCGGAGUUGUAAACAGAAGCUGUGUCGAAGUGUCGAUAGCCAACCUUUAUUGCAUGGAGAACAGAGUCUUUCGUUUCCGAAGGGGCAGAACGAUACACAGCUGUGCCCAUGCCCACCAGAGGUAUGGCUUUUCCUGUUGAUCCCAGGGCCUUCUCCGGAAUGCUUCCCAUUUUCUCUACUCUAUCUCGUGAAAAUUAUCACUUCCUCUGAGAUCUAUAUAUAUAGGCAUAUAAUUCCCAAACCAUCAGUAUCCGUUCCUAUCACAUACUAGCAGCGCAUCAGUCUUAAAAAUUAAUCAAUACUUACCGUUGAAUGACCAACACUAUCUGACGACCGCAGUGAUCUCACACAUUUUGGAUUAUUCAUACAUGGCCGCUAAGUCACCACAGCAGUUGCAAUCCUGUUAGGCGCAAUGACCAUUUUAUUUUCUCUUUCGUACGUAGGUGGCCUUUUAUGUUGGGCGCCCUCGUAUGUGAGGGAGUAGGCCCAUAUGUUGGGAUCAAGUCAGUUACAUUAAAAAAAACCGGAGACAAGAGAAGAGAAGAAAAAUGCUAUUUGCUCAAAUUUCAUCAAUAAGUCGAUCUCGCUUCAUCUGUUGUCUAAUCAAAUUAAAAUUUGGAGGAAAGGUUUAAAACUCAAGUAUCUACAAUUUGAACGGUGGAGAUCAGAUUUUGAAUUCGAAAAAUUGAUGUUAUUGCCCAUAAACAGUAACGACGUUUUUAGUAUACUUCCUCUAAUUUUUCUUUAUUUUUGUCAAAAGAAAUUAUAUAAUCCAAGGCUAUAUGUGAUUUUGAUGUAUUUGAUAAUCUUUAAAUAUUAUUCUAAAAAAGACAGAUGUAACUCAUUAUUGUUAAUAAUGGAUGUUUGAAUUGGAAUAAAUCCCGUAAUUUUUUCUUUCAAAUUGGGGGGUUUUCCAUGUAAAAAUUUUGAUGUCUAAUUUAUUUUCUUGUUACAUGAAUUUAUUUAUUUAUUACUGUUAAUUGAUAUUGCCUAUUUAGUUUUACCUAAAGAAAUGAUAGAAAAAUUACGAUGUUUAUUGAAAUGAUAGAAAAAUUACGAUGUUUAUUGAAAUACUGUCAAUUCACCCUAACAUUUUAAUUGCUUAGUUUAUUCAGAAAAAGUUCACGGCUUUACUUGCAUUGCACAGAACACUCAAUCAUUUUGUCAUCGGCCCCACCCCAUAAUAAUAAUAAUAAUAACCAAUGCUCAUUACAUUUCCAACUUGUAAGUGGACGGAGUCAAGAUUAAGAGAAAGUGAUGUAUCAGAUACUGGCUCCGGGUUGAAGAUACAACGAUCCACCUCCUCAGCUAGUAUUGGAAAAUCAUGAAAGCUUUUAAAUGGCCGUAAUAAAGUGGAGAUAAAUGAUGAUUCCUUGCACGUUUAUGUAUAAAAUUUAUUUUUAAAAAAAGCAUUAACCACACCUACCAAAAAUCUUUUUAUUCAAAAUCUUUCUAAAAAAAUAAAUAUAUAUUAAAUAAUGAAAUAAUUGUGUUUUGAAUCUAAUUGAGCCCAAAAAUUAAGAUUUGGUCCAUAAAAAUUGUAUAAUUGAUGAAAAAGAUAUAAAAUGUGAAGAGACCAAUAUACCAUUCAAAACUAUUUUGAGUAUUUUUUAUCACAAUGUUUGAUAAACUUUUUUAUCUUAAUUUUUUUUAAUAAUUAUUUUGAAAAUUUAUUAUUUUUAGAAAACUAUUUUUUAAAAAAAAUAUAUUCUAAAAAUAUAUCAUUUAAAAAAAUAAUUUUGACAUACUUUUAGUUAUUUUUUAUAUACAUAAUUUUAAAUAUAUAUUUUCCAAGAUGUUUAAUUUUUAAAUAAUAAUAAUAAUUUAUUUUUAUUUUUUUGGAAAAUGAUGUAUUUUUUUCCAAAUCACUAAAUUAAAUUAAAUUUUAUUAAGGUUUAUAAAAGGAAUAAAAUUUAAAUUAAUGUUUUUCUACUCUUUUUUUUUUCAUAGUCAAUAAAUAUCAUUUUUGAAAAGAUAAAAAGUUCAUAUCUUUGUUCUCAAUUUUCACACUUUCUCUAAGUCUUGGGCUUAAAUGGUGAACUUAUAUGGACCAAAACUUAAUUUUUAGGCCCAAUUAGAUCCAAAACACAAUUGUCCCUUGAAUAAUUUAUUAAAGUAUCAAUCCAUGAAAAUCAAUCAUUGUUAAAUGUAUUUACAGCAACAUCUUUAAAAUAUAAAUAUAAUAAUUGGAAUAAAUUUAUUAAAGCCUCAAUUGAUAAAAAUAAACCGUGGUUAGAUGUAUUUAUUCCAAAUCUCUAUGAAUAAAAAUAAUCUUAAUUUUUUUAUGCUUUAAGGGAUUUGAAAAAACAAAAGGAGGUAAAAAAUAAAUGGUAAAGUUGUAUGGGAACAUUGUAAAAUUUUGAUUAGUAGUCACCACAAUGAGAGUUGGUUAGCUUUCCCAAGUAUUGGCCAAGGUGGUUCUUAACUAGGAGGAAUUUAAUUCUGUGUGAUUUUGAAAGUUGGAAUCCAUCUUUAUAAGGUUGUGGAAAUGCUUAGAAACCUAAGAUAUAAUUUGGGUAUAUUUUAUUUGUGAAAAAAUUGAGGUAAAAUAUAAAGGAAAAAAAUAUUGGAAAAAAAGAAAAAAAGAAAAAGUGAAUAAAGAAAAUAAAAUAUAGAAUUAAAGUUAAUACAUUAUUUUUGUAUAUUACUUUAAAUUUAUUUUACCUAUUUUAAUUUUUCUACACAAAAAUUAAAUAAUUUAAAAAUACCUAAAAUUUUAAUUUAUUUUAAUUAUAUUUGAUUUCUUUUAAUAUUUUUUUUAUUUGAUAACUAAACAUAAGAAAAUAAUUUUCCUUAGGAUUUUUUUUUCUUUCCAAUCAAAUAUAACCUUAAUAAAGCUUUUAAAAGCAAUUUUCAAAUAUAUUUUUUAGAAUGGUUCUUUAAAUUAAAUAAUUCUCCAUUAUUUCUUUAUAUACAAUACAAAAGUCGUAAAAUAUUCUCCAUAUUUUCAAUUAUUUCUCAUAAUAUUUUAUAAAAAUAAACAUUCAAUUUAUUCCAAAGAAACAAGAUACUUGUAGAAUAAAUUAUGAAAAAUUUAUUUUCAAUUAAAAAUUUAUUGAAGGUGUUUUUUGAGUUGGAAAUUGUUUUAAAUUAUUUUCAAAAACAAUAUUCAAAUAAGGUCCAAGUGCAUGAACAAUAACAUCAACAUUGAGAUUCAAAAUUAGAAAUUUGAUAUUGAGUAUUAAUUUAGUUCUGACAUUAAUAAAAAUUCAAGGAGCUUUCUAAGGAUUGCAAAGGAUGAUGUGAAAAUAACCCGCACAUUUGGAAAUUAUAAGUAUUAUAACUAAAUGUUAAAAAUAAAACAAAUUUAUUGGAAGGCAAUUGGCCACAUAAUAUGAAAAUAUCGUUUCAUGUGCACAAUUCCAUUCCCAAUAACAAUUUUAAUCAUACUUAACAAAAUAAUUAAAAUAAAAUUUAAGAGUUUUCUAUAUAUAUAUAUAUAUAUAUAUAGUAGAAUUGUUUUAGACCAAAAAAUAUUUUACAACCACCCAUAUUUUAUAUAUAAUAUAGAGUAUAGGUAUAGAUUUUUUCCCUUUUGAAAUUAUAUUUAAUCAACAGCUAUAUUAAUAAUCAAAAUAGUUAACAUAUUUUAAAAAAAAAUGUUGAAUAAACUUUAGCAAUAUGUUUGAAAAAAAAAAUAUUAAUAUUCAAUUUUUUUUUAAAAAAAUUAUAAUUAUAAUUCAUAUUGAAAAAAAUAAGGUUAAUUGAAGAGUUAUGCUCAAACAUUUUUAGCAAUUAUAUUUAUUUUUCAAUGGUACUCUUUCAAAAAAAAUUUAUUCUCAUGCAUUACUAAGUUAAAAUAUAUUAAAAGAAAUAAAUCUUUAGGCCAAUCUUUAUAUAGAGAGUUUCCUAUUAGUACUUGAAUUUAACUUUAAAAAUUUUAAACAUUUAAAUAAUAAAUUUGUUGUAUACUUCCAACCCAUUUAAUAUUUAUUAACAUUUUACAAGUCUUAUUUAUGGUGAACCAAAAAUUGUUUUUAAUAUUCAUUAAUGAUUUAGUUUAAAACCCUAUUUUUAUUUUACGAAAAAAAUAAAAAAAUUGAGAUCAAAUAUUUGUAAAAUAUCUAUAGAAACUACUAAUACUGGAAGCAUCAUUACCUACAUUGUAAUUAUUUAUUAUUCCCAUAUAUUUAUAUAUAAAUAGUUUUAUAACUCCUAUUGAUUUAUUCUUUUUACUUCUCAAUAAUUAUUACCUACUUUGCAAAAAUAUUCUUCUCUGAAAUUCUUUCUUUUCUCUUACUAUAUGGGCAAACAAAAAAAUAUUUAUUAUUCCUCCCACCAGUCUUUCUCUUCAAUUUUUUCAUUGUUGUCUCAAUGUUUAAAUACACUCCAAUUGUCUUAAAAAAAACUGUGAUAAAAAACCAAUAUUUAACUUACAAGAUGAAUCCAAAAUGUACUAUGAUGCUACACAUAGGUAUCAUGAACAAUAUGAGACUAGACCUAAGGACAUAUGAAACUCCUUUUACUAAAAAAGAAUCAAUCAAAGCCUCAUACAUUACCUACCUCCUUUUACUAAAAAGGAAUCAAUCGAAAAACAUUCUCUACCUAAUCAUUGGGAUGGUAUAAAGUUUGCUAUGGAAUAAAAGAUUAAACCAAGAAAAGUGAAUUUUUUUUUUUUUCAUGUAGCUUGUGAGCUUGAACUAGUAGAGGGAUGACCUAUUUUUGAUAUGUCCAAAGUGAAUUGUUACAUUAUUAAUACAUAUCAAUAAAUUUAAAUCUUUAUAAUGCAAGACACAAGAGAAAGGAUUGUGGUUAAGGAAGGUUGGACUUCAAGAAGUGCAAAAACAAAUGAAGUUCUCCAUAAAAAAUUUAAAAUAAUAGAAGCUAACAGAAAAUGUUUAAGUAACUCUAAGUUGUUGUCAUCGGGUUUUCCUAUGAUAGAUAACUAUGUUUUUACACAUAUUUUUCAUGCAUGUACUCUAGCCUUAAUGAUUUAUUUUUUGUUGAAUUUUAGUGUAAUUAAUUUUCAUGUUAUUGAUUCUUCUCUUUUUCUAUCUUAAAGAAAAAAAAUUAUAUUUGUGUAUAAAAGAGAAAUAAUAGAGUCAUGACUCAUUUUAAACCAUUUUUAAUAUAUUAUUUUUUGGUACAUAGUUCUGUUUUUGAGUUUCAAUUAUUUUCAAAAAUUGCUAUACUCGUUCAAAAAAAUCUAAAACCUUAAAUUUCACUUGAUUUAAAGAGUAUGAUUUUAUCUCAUCCCAUCCAUAUUAUAUAUAAUAUUAAAUAAAAAAUAUUUUAUUUUAUAUAGACAUAUAGUAAAAGAAAUAUUUUCAUAAAAAUAAAGUAUACAAAUUUAUAAUAUUAAUUUAUUUAUAAAUAAUAUUUAUUUUUUAUAUAUUAAAAAUAAAAAAAUGUUUUUUUUAAAACCGAACUAGUGAUCAAAUCGAAAAAAUUAUCAAUUCACAGUUCACAAGUCGAAUCCGUGACAUUAUAAAUAUAUAUUUUAUAUAUUAUUAAAAUUAAAAAUAAUUAUAAAAAAUAAAAAUAAUAAAUUCUACUAAGUCAUCCUAUAUCAUAUUUCUAAUACAAUGAUAAUAUAAAUCAAUAUAACACUUUUAUCAAAAAAUUACUAUCCUAUAUCCACAAAUGCUCAAUAAACUAACAAUGAUAAAAAUUAUUUAAAAAUUAGAAAAUUAGUUUCAAAUAAUAAAUUUAGAUUAAAAUAGGAAUUUUAAUUUAAAAUUAGAAAGAUUAAUUUAAAAUUUAAAAUUUUAUUUUUAAAUCAUAAACUUAUUUUAAAAUAAAAAAUUAUUUAUUUAAAAUAUAAGGACACUUUAUUUUCAAAAAUUUAUUUAAUAUUUUCAUUAAUUUAGAUUAAAAGCAUAAAUUUUAAAAAUCAUAAAGUCAAAAGAAUUACAAAUGUAAAAAUUACAAUAAAUAAGGAAACGAGGAAAUAAGGUAAUAGAGUAAAAGAUCUAAAUCAUAAAGUCAAAAGAAUUACAAAUCUAAAAAUUAAGGUAAAUAAGGAAAUAAGGUAAUAGAAUAAAAGAAAUAAACAAAAAUCGGACUUAUGCCCGUCGGAGCGGCCUCGUAGGUCGGCGAUGUCGCGUUGGCUGGGCUGGAGGUGGGAGUUUGACGGGAGCAAUAGCACGCGAGCUGGAAAUGGUGGGGUUGGUUUGUGGAGUCCGGUGGACUGUUUUGGUGUGGGAGGGGGCUACGAUUGCGGAGGGGAGAACGAGCUGCGAGGCAACGACUGAGGGGUGGUUUGUGGAGUCUUGUGGACUGUUUUGCUGUGGGCAGGGCAACAACUGUUUUGGGGAGGGGGGUGGUGUGGAGGGGAGAGAACGGGCUGGAAAAAGUGGGCGGGGCAACGAUUAUGGGAGAGGGAAAACAGGUUGGAAGAACGAAAAAGAAAGGGAAGGCAAAAAACAAAAAGUAAAAUUUUCAUUUCAACCGUUCUAUUCAUCAAAAACCACAAAAACCAAUCGGGUCAACUGGAUCACCGAUUUGACUGUCGGUAGUCGGUACCAGUGAUUUGAGGCUGGUUUAGAGGCUGGCCGGUUCAAAAGGGUGAAUCGAGACCGGACUGGUGACCAACUGACAGUCAGAUAAGUUGGACCCGUUGAUCCGAUCCGAUUUUUAAAACGCUAAAAAAAAUUCACAACAUUUUCAAAAAAUUACAAAGAAAUAUAAAAGAUACACUAAGAAAUUUUUAAGAAAAAUGAGGAGCUAUUUUAAAAUAUUUGAUAAUAAAAGUAUGGUACAGGUAGAGUGGUGGCUGGGAGAACUAUUUCUGUGCUAAAGGGGAACCUCUUGGCUAGAUAUUCCACCUCUCCUAGCACCGGCUUAUAUGAGCUAUUUUUUGGCAUUGAUUGACGACAUUUGCUUUAUGGGGAAAAAAAUUUAUGAGCAGAGCCAUAUGAAAAUUAUGGAUGUUCAAUUAGCUGUGAGAAAAAGAGCACACAAUCAUUCAAAGGUGACGAGCUAUUCAUUGGGGAUAGCCCUCCUCUAAAUUUCUUCCCAAUUUUAUCAAAUAGUAAUUGAUCGAUCACAAAAGGUUCAAUUCAUUCACAAAUAUAACUAGCUAUUUUCAAGUCAAUUGGGAGUGGUGCUCAGCCAUGCUCAUUUUAAUCAGAAUUGAAUUUCCUCAUCCCACAGCUCCACAACAGACUUGUAGGGGCCUUCAUCGCUAAUGAAUUCCAGGCCUGGAACCCCUUUAAAUUGCUGAAUUUGAUCUAUUUUCUGUAUAUCCUCCACACUUAGCUCCCAAUCGAAUAUCUCUAGAUUCUCUUUCAUUCUUUCCUUGUUGAAACUCUUCACGAUAACACUCACACCUUGUUCGUAUAUCCACCUCAAACAAACCUUCAAAAUCAACACGAGAAAAUUCGGAUUGUGGCAAAAACAAUCACCACCAAGAUAAACAAAUCAUUUUUUUUUAAUUUUUUUUUGUCUUUUAAAUAAAUUUUGAACAUGAAGGCCAAGAAAAGCACAUUGGAUACUGUGACUUUGUGGGGUAGCUCUCGGAUUCUCGGUCAACAUACAAUAUAUCUCCACUACAAUAUUUAAGUAAAAGCAGUCACAUCAUUAUAUGAAAAAGGAUAAAAGAAAGAAAAAUUAAAUCAAACCCUACAAUCAAUGGUGCAUCCACUAACUAAGAAAUUGCAAACAAGGGUCAACUUGAUUAGUGAGUUUCAGCCGAACGAGUUAUUCCUAAUUGAAAAUUUUGGAAGGAACUGAUGUAGAAGCUAGAAAGCAAGAUGCUGUUGGAUUAUGUCCUUUCAAUCUUUGUAACGGCACUUUUACUAUAUACUUGAAACAAGCAAUUUUUAAGGCUCAAGAGAAUUUUACCUGAGCAAUCGUUUUGCCUCUUGCUUGGGCAAUUUCUUUCAGGACUUGACAUUCCAUAACUCUGUCACCUCCCCACGGUGUUCCUCUGGCACCCAAAGGAGAGUAGGCCGUGAUGUGGAUUCCUUUCUCUG